Molecule: long non-coding RNA, 45123 nt
Filed under: Jatropha curcas
Lineage: Eukaryota; Viridiplantae; Streptophyta; Magnoliopsida; Malpighiales; Euphorbiaceae
Description: long non-coding RNA (JCUR_LNC001996)
Source: RNAcentral
CAAAAUCAUUUAAUUUUUCCAAAAAUACAAAUAAAUUAACUAAUUAAUGAUAAGUAGGUUUGGUGAAGUGCGGUCCUUCUUGAAUAUCAAUAAUGCUGCUUCCACUAACACCUUCACUUUCCAAAAAGUUUAACUUUUGCAAAAUUGCAAUAUUCCUCUUUAAAUUGAGUCAGAAACAAACCAGAAACUAAAAUCACAAACAACAAUGGAUCUCAACUGCAGUCCUUUCUCCUUUCUUCUAAUACUAAUUCUGAUGAGCUUCUCAAUCUAUCUUUCGUCAUCAUCAUCAGUUCAGCCCACAUGUAAUGGUUCAAUAGCAGAUUGCAAUUUUGAAGAAUAUGAAACUUUGAUGGACUCAGAAAUAAGCAGAAGAUUUCUUGAACAGAAAAAAUAUAUAUCACCUGGUGCUCUGAAAAGAGACCAACCAGUCUGUAAUGGCGGUGCUAAUGGUCAGUCUUAUAGUAGCAGUUGUUUGCCUCCUUCUUCCAAUCCUCAGAAUCGUGGUUGUCCUAGGUACUAUCGUUGUAGGUCUGAUUCUUGAAUUCCAAACUUAAAUUUAUUUUAUUGCUUUCUUUUUCUUUUCCUUUUUUUUUUCAAAAGCUGUUACUAAGCUUGUAAUCUGUUGAGAUCACUUUAAUAACAUUUAAGUCAAUUGAGUAUUAAUUUCAGAAGCUUUGUUCUGUAAUUUUCUAUUUGUUUUUCUGCUUUGGGUGAAAUUUUAUCAUUAAACAAUUAAUUAUAUUUUAGUGUAUGUGUGUGUGUAUAUAUAUAUAUGAUUUCUUAUUAUAAUUACUUAAUUAUUUGCAAUUUCCUUUUCUUAUUCUAUGUUUAUAUUGGAUGUUAAUCCAUAAAACAGUAUUGAGAGUGUCUGACUUAUAGUGCAAAAGUUGAUGUUUUUAUAUCUAAAUUAGUAGUUAUUAGAAAUUCAUUAAUAGAUGAUAACAUUUGGUUGAGUAUUAUUUAAUUUUAUAGAAUUAAACCUGAAAUUUUUGCUGAUGCAAAACAUAAAAAUAUGAAACUCUAAAUGUGAAAUUUAUUUAUAUCAAAUGAUCACUUGUAGCAGUUUUUUUUUUUUUUUCAUAUUAUAUUGAGUUUGUAUUAAAUAUAAACUUUCAGUUUUCAAUUUAAUCAUUCUUCAAUUAUUUGUACAUUUUCUAAAAUUUUAUUUUAUUUUUUGCUUUAAAGAUAAAGAAAUCCUUAAAUACAAGUGAUGAUAUAAAGUUUGGGAGUUGACAUUGUAACAGCUUCUAAGGUUUUACUUCACUUCCUUUUGCUUGAUUUCCAUUUUUUUCCCCUCUGAGAUGUUUCAAAAUUCACGUGAAUUUUGCAAUUGUAAUCCAAUGACACCUUGAGAUUUGUGAAUGAUCUAUCCGAACUUGCAAAUUUUGAUAACAUUAAUAAAAUUUUUAGAUUUGUUGCUUUUAUAUACAAAAUAUUAAUCUGAUGUGUAAUUUGCAUAACUUUUAGAAUAAUAAUUUUUAUAUUUUUCUAAUUAUAAGUUAAAAGUGUUUUUACAGGUUAAAAUAAUAAAAUUCAAAAGUAAAUUUAUGUAUCCGGUCUAUUUAUAAAUAUCAGUUAUAUUUAUGAACAUAAAUAAUUAAAAGAUAUAUUUAUUAUCAACUCGUUAAAUUAUUUCUAUCCAAACUCAAGAUUGAAAAUAUUGUGAAAUAGUGCAUGGUAAAACCUUUGUUUUUGCUCAACCAAACUAAAACAAGCACAACUUAUUGUUUCCAUUGUGACAAAAAAAACUCCAAAUUUACUAUUCACAAAACGUUAAUUACUGCAAUGUGCUUGAAGAUAUAUCAUGACACUGACAGCAGUAUCAAUGUGGUUAGCUUUGUUCAGUCAAAACUGCAGUUCAUUCAUGAACCCAAGUGAAACGCAAAGCAGACGUUUGAGAUUUCCAUUCCCACUAUUUGUAGUCAAUAUAUGAUAUCAUGGAUCAUUGAACAAACAUGACAUGAAACAAAGCAAAGUUUUAGGCAGAAAAGUAAAGAAAAAUCUGCAAACAUGUUAAGCAAGAAAAAGGACUUUUGAAUUUUACAGUACGAUUGAGGCCGAGUUACCAUAUCCUAUGUAUCAGACAACAAUACAAUUUGAUGUACCUAAAAUCAAAAUCUUAAAACUACUUCAUCGAGAGCUUCCAUACCUCUCGAACAUUGGAAGAACCAUCUGCAACUUCAGCAACCAGACUUCCAGCCAUAAUUCCUUCAUCAAGAAAACAAAGAUCGUCCUAUCAAUACCAUUGCAAGGAGGAAGAAGAAGAAGAAGAAGAAGAAGAAGAAGAAGAAUUUAAAGGAAAAGGCGAAAACUCUUAAUUGCAUGCCAGGGCAAGAAUACAGACAUUUUUCCCCAUAUAUUUCUACUAUCCCAGGUUAGGCAUCAUAUUAUGCAUGCAAAUCAUAUGAAUGGGCAGCAUGAGCAAGAACAGCACAAGUAGACCACAUUCAUCAGCCUUCCUGUAUAUGCAUUUUUUUUUUUUGUCCAAGAAAUAAAAUAUAUGGAACAAGUAGACAAAAUGUCUUAGAAGGAGAUCUCACUUUCAUGCAUAAAUUUAGAAUAUAAUUUUUUAUUCCCUUCUUAUGUUCAAAUUUAUAUUUUCUGUGAUAUAAUACAGACAUUAUCCAAAAAGAAAAAAAAAAAAAAGAAAUCUGACUGCCUGACCAUCUUUCUCCACCAUAGAUAGGAAUUGUCGUGUUCCCCCACCGACUCCAAAGUAAUACUUUUUGGCUGCGAAAUACACAACUCCAUGAGGACGGCGCAAGCACUGCAGAAAAACACUUUUGGAAGUCAGGAACUAUAAGUUUAUUGUAGAAGAUUAACAUAAAAUAAAUCGACUACUGAAUAAGGCAACACCUUCUUUAUAAGUCCAUAGAGAUUUUGUUGAGCAGAAAUUGAGUAUAUUGUCUCUGCCAUUAAGAUGACAUCAUAACCAGAAACUGGCUGCUCUGAGCAACAGUCGAGAUCAUUUUCCUUAUUGCAUAUGUAAGGAAGACAUUGGUCAAUUUGACUCCAGUCACCAGCAAAGAACCGCAGUUCUGCACCAGAACCACAAUUCGACUCAUCUGAUCUACCACUAAGACUUUCUUUUGCAAGAUUGACAUUCACAUUGGGAAUAGUGAGAGAUCGCAAGACUUCAGCAUUGAAAUCCUGAAAAUGUACAACUCUCGCACCCUGAUGCAAGAAACAACAAAGCUUUAUUUUUAUUGAAUGGGCUGGGUCUCCUGAUGCUGGCCCUUCAGGUAUCUCGAUGUUACAAAGAAAGAAAAGACGAAUUCCAAUGACAUCCUCAAGAGAGAUGCAAGCCAUGAUUCUAGGCUUGAUAAAAAAAUGUAGAGGAUGUAAAAGUUACCUCAAGGCAUGCAGAUAUCCCCGGAAGUCCAUGACCACAUCCAAGCUGAAGAAGAAUAUCACAGAAACUCACUUAGGAAUUAAAAUGAAAGCAGGAGAGACAAAAAGACAUUUUUCGCUGCAUGUAUUUACAUCCUUCUGAAAGAAACAAUCACUUGGAGGGUUACAUUCAAUUUCUUCAUAUUCACUCAGGCAGAUAUAAUUUUAUCCAACAUUCAUCAAUUUCCUACGGUGAACAUCACUAAAUUCAUUGCCACAAUUACAGGCUUAAAAAAAAAAAAAAAAAAAAGAUAAGGAACUAAAAUAUAAAUCACAACAAAUGUCAAAGACUCUGAUCUAUUAAUGCCCAGACCUCUGUGAAGAAAACUGUGAGGUGAAGCCCAUGCCCACUAGGUGAACGGGUUAAUGUCCCUGCAAUUGGCUAGACCAAUUCAAAAUUACAAUUAUUUAAUUGAAGCAUCUCCUCCCUAUGGAAAGACAUUAUGUUACUUUUGAACCUUACUGAAUUUAGCUUCCACCACCUUCCUCUAACCAUUUUUCAUUGAUUCUGUUAACCUUUAAUAAGUCAUUCACAGAAACAUUAAUGAUUCUAAUAUCUGCAUAUUUUUGUCAUCUUCCUAAAUUUGGUUUAGGAAUGCGCGAAGAGGUCCUUCAAACCAAGGGAGGAGAGAUAAACAAUAUCUUGUGCAUGUGAUGCCCAACAAUAGAACAAAUUUAGGAUAAGCAAAAGAGAAAGGCGAAACAGACUAAGCAGGAAUGAAUGCAUAUGUCAAGGGAAAAUCUGGCGGCAGAAAUGGUGAUUAGACAUGAUGUGGAAAUAAACAAAGGGGUAGAGGUGAUGUGGUGAAAUCUUAAAAGGGAUGGGAUGAUUGUGAACAUGAGUUAAGUUUUAGAACAACUGUUAGUGAAUGUCAUUUAUGUAUUAACUAGAGAGAGACAGAGGAGCGAUUCAAUGACAACAUCAGAUGUCUUUUUGAAAAAGGAUCAAAAACAAAAAAACAUUAGAAUGCCAUGUGUCCUAAAAAAGAUAACAUUAUUAUACAGAAAAAAAAAAAUACAAAAUGCAUAAAUUUAAACUGGUGCAGGAAAUUAGCGUAUGAUCAACCAAGACUGAAUUAGUCAUCAGUUAACUACUAUGAAGUUGAAGAAUCAAUGUGUGAGCAUUGUGGAGCAGUAUCAAAUCACCUGAAGAUUAGGUGCCCACCUCUAAAACUCGCUUUCCAUUAAAUGAUAAAUGCCCACAUUGAACCUCUGAGCGAAGGGCUUUAACAAGGUCCACUGAGCCUUCCCAAAGUUUCAGUCCUCCUAAGUCUCAAAGACAAAUAUAUAUAGUGAUUAAAUAAAGAGAGAGAGGGGAAGGGAUUAAAUAAAGGCAAAGACAAAAAGAAAACCCUUCUUUCACACCUUCAUAUACACCAGGUACUAAAUCAGAAUUGGGCAACCCAAAAACCUCUUUGGUGCUAACACGACCCUGAAAGGAAAAAAAAAAAGUUACAAAAUAACUUUUCACGUUCACCAAAGAUAGAUAUAGAAACAUUACAAGCAUUGUGCAUAACUGACCAAAUACCAACUGCUUUCAUGCCAAAUUCAGGUGAGAUUAGCUUAGUCUAAAAACAGAAUAUAGUUAAGCCAAGACAUUGCUACAUUGAAUUUUUGAGACAAAAUCAAGAACUACUUCCAAGAAGACAGUAAAGAAAGCAAGAAACUCAAUCCAACAUCUCAUCUUUUUUUCCUUCCUUCCUUAUUCCCUUAUUUUCAAUCAAUGCUUAGCAAUCAAACAACAAGUAGGAAACAGAAAACUGACCUUGAACAAAGUGAGACCAUCCAAGGUUACAGGCUCCACAGAAAAUUUCAAAGUCGAUGAGACCUUAAAAUGAAACAAACAUCAAUCAAUUAAUUAUCCAUACAGAGAUUUCUGUUCUAUAACGUACAUGAUUGGAACAGAAAAAUUGAUACCUCAGACGAAAGUACUUCAGUCGGCGGUGGCGGAGGAGGAAGAGGAGCCUCUGAAGAAGGAUCGGAAAAAUCUAACCCUAUUCCUCCCGAAGUAGAAAAUAAUUUAAAAGUUGAGUUUGCGGCCAUAACCUCUACUGAAUUUCUUUUCGAACUUGUGCACUCUGUCACCGAGUAUGAAGUAAUGGAGGUUGUUUUACUGUACUUUUUUUUUUUCUUUUUUCUUUUGGCCAAAUGCAUAAAAUCAUCCCACUAAAAACUAUGACGCAGCCUCUAACUUUUAAUUUGGUAAUACUUUAAACUUAUCAAAUUGCAUCCAUCUAAUAUUUUAACGUGUAAAACCUUUUGUUAAAAUUUUCAAUUUCUAAAAUUAAAUUAAUUAAAUAUUUGCUAAAUAUAUAAUAUAACUUAUUGAACUUAAAUAAAAAAAAAAUAGCCUUUGCGACACAUUGACGCUACACAUUAAAAUCAUUAGUAACAUCUUGAAUUUUAUUUUUUUAUAACAAUUUCACGCAUUGCUACAAUUAACAACAACAGUAAUUUUAAAGGUCUUUUACUUUUUAAAUAUUAAUUUAAUAUGUGAUUAGUAUAAUAUUUAAAGUAACAAUUAUUACAUUUGUUUUAGAAUAAAGAAGACAAGCUUUAUUGAUUAACUGAUAGAUCAAGCAAAAUAUCAACUGCAAUACAACGGGUAAUGCUAUUUCAAUAAUGAAGGCUAGAAGAAAAUUAACAAGCAGCUCGGGCUAGCGAGUGAACCGACUUAUUCGCUUGCCUACAAACAAGUCAAGGAGAUACUUUCCAUCUUGCUGAUAAGAGACCUGUAAUCUGGUAUGACACACCCAAAUUCAGUUAAGUCAGGCUGACCAUGAAGAGAGUCAGACUCAAGAAUAACAGGACCAAACUGACAUUCCUUCAACUAGGAAGAACCUCCUGCAUACCAACAGCUUCUGCAUAAGAAUUAAUAAUUCUUACAUUUUAAUUAUUUAAUAAGUGUUUUCAAGUGAUCUAAUUUUACAAAUUAUGUUGAACCGAUUAAGUUAAAAUACUCAAUAAAUAUAAUUUUAUAAAUUGAAAUAUUUAAUGCGUCAAAAUAAAAGUUAAAAGUAACAUAAAAUUUUUUAUGAAAAGUUUAAAAGUGAAUUUAUUUAUUGAGCCGAAAAUUAUUAUUCUAAAAGUUAUAAUAACUACACAUCAAAUCAAUAUUUUACAUGUAAAAUUAUUAUUGGCAAUUCUUUAGUUCUAAGGGCUAAAUUAUGGGAUUUAUUGGAAGGAAUUAAACUUGUUUAUACCAGAUGUUUUCACGUGUUCAUGUUGAAAGUGACAAUCUCUUGCAGUUCAGCUUAUUAAUGAUUCUAUAGUGAUUCUUCUUUCAGUUUGUUCUCUAGUUCUCUCAAUUUAUAAUUAUUUGCGGCUUGAUGGACUAUCUCUGUCUCUUAUAUAUUUAGGAAAAUUAAUUUCUGUGCUAAUUGGUUGACUAAUCUUGCUUCUUGUUUUGCUUUUGAAAUGCAUAUUUUGGAAGCUUCUCCUCAUGGUCUUCAUCAAUGGUUAGUUUAUGAUAUUACUGGUGUACCUCACUCUAAAAGGAGCAGUAGUUAGUUUCUUUUUCUACAAAAAAAAAAAAAAAAAAACAAAUUUGCAUAUGAAAAUAAAAAACACCAAAAAAUUAUUAUUUCUAAUGUGGAGAGGUAUGUAAUUUUAUUUAAGUUCAUAAUUUUAGAGGCAUAAUAAGUUCCCUCUAAAAAUUGGGAUGUAACACUCUAACACCAUGUAUACAAGGAUAAAUAGUGUUGUGAUGCUAUAUAAUAUAUCAUACAUAUCUAUUAACUGAAAUAUAAGUCGCACCAUGUGUUAAACAGGAAAAACCUAUAUUAGAAAAUUUCUUACUUUUGACAAACAGUCAUAUAUAAAUAUAUACAUGACCAAACAUAAUUUAAAAGUUAUUUAAUACAUGGUGGACGUUAAAGAGUUUAGACCCCUUAUAAAACAAAUUUACAAACUAAGAAGGUGACAUAUACAGACACAAUAAGUCCCGACCUUAGUUCCAUUUCUGCCAAUCUGAACAGAUGGAAAUCUGACUGCUAAUGCCUCCUAAAGCCCAAAUCUAAAAAAAUAUUAGCAUUUUAUAUGAGAUGUCACUCAGUGAGUAAAAACCAUUAUAAAUGAUUAUUUGAAAUAACAUAGCAUAUCAUGAAUAUCUCAAAUAAAGCACAUAAUGCGCUUCUAAUAAUUCAAACAUCUUUAACUCUUUGGGCCACCAAAAGCUCGACAUCAACAAUUAUCAUAUAAUAAUAGUCAUUUAUUAAAUCAUUCACAAUAAUAAUGUACAGAUAUCACAUCAUUCCUGUUGAUAGAAAUUUAUAUCAUAGUUAUUUGAAGCAUCACAGAUAUGAUGCUACAGAGAUAUACUUCAGAAGUAUGAUGCAAAUGAUUAUCAGAUUAUUUAUGUUAUCACCAUUUAAUGAAUAUUGCUUAAGCUCUUUAAACUUCCAUAACCAUAUAAAUAUGGUAAUUUCAAUUUAAACACCAUUCUUUUCAAACUAACACUUGAUAUCAUCGUUAGAAUGCUUAAUCAACUAAUUAAACUCAUCAAUUCAAAACAAAAUGAUCAUUCCAAUGAUCAUUUCGAGUGGGCAGAAUCUCCAUCUUUAGCCUUAGGUAAGAUUUUCGCAAUUCAAUCAAAUUAAAGCUUAAAUCAUGGUUUUUAUAACCAAUACUAACUAAUUAACACUUUACAUCAUGUUCAUUUCACUUAUUAGCGUCAAAAUCAAUCUUCCCUUCAAAAUCUCUACUUUGAAAUCCUAACUCAAACUUCUCCAUAUCAAAUGAAUAGCACAAAUUAGGUAGAAAUUAGUUGCCUUAGGUGAUUUUCAACAAAAACCCUUUGAAAAUCAAGUUGAAUCCUUAGCACGUUAGGCUUUCUUUUUCUUCUUCUCCUGCUUCUCUCCUUAUGUGUCGACCUCUCCUUCUCUCUUUUCUAUUUCCUUUUUGUUCUUUGAUUUUUGCUAUUACUUAGCCUUUUAUAAACUAACAAGUCAUUUGGAAGUCACAUGGCCUCUUAAUCUUCCUUUAACUCCUCAAAUUCUCAUGUAUUCUUAUUUUUACCCACAUUUAUAAUUAUAACUUUUCUUUUAUGUUAAUCAAAUAUAUAAUCCUCUAUUAACACUUAAUUGAUCUCAUUUAGGCCUUAACUAAAUAUCUUAGAUGAUUUAACAUAAAAUCAUUAAAUACUUAAUCAAAAUACUAAUUUAGGUUCUUCACGUGCUAUCUUCUCUUCGCUGUAAUUUGAGCACAUUUAACUUUCUUUUAAUUAUUCUCCAUAAUCAUUUUCCACUUUAAUUAACUUAUGAUUUUGUGAUUAACAAUCUCUUACUAACAUAUUAAAGCAGUCUAAAUCAAUCAAAUCACCAAAAUAAACAUAAUUUUCCAUAAUAGUAUCAUUAUUCUCAUUUGACAAUUCAUUUAUAAACACCAUUUAUAGAUGUACUAAAAGGCUUUAAAGAACAUAUACGCACUCGAUAUGUCUAAGGCGGAGUGCCAGGCUUUUCGAGUUCAGAGUUUAUUCAGAUUCAUGCAUUUGCAUAUUCAGAUUCUUAUUUGAUGCUUAUGUGCAUGGUCAUGUUUAGGCAUAUCAAUGUUUAGGCAAAUGCAUGUAUAUAUAUAUAUAUAUAUAUAUAUAUAUAUAUAUAUAUAUAUAUAUAUAUAUAAAUGUUAUAUGUGUCAUGUUCAUAAAUACAUAUGUAUGAUCAUGGUAUGGUGUUUCACAAUAUUUUUUAUAUAAAAUAUAAAUUUAUGUAUGAGACCUUUAUUUUAUUUUAUUUUUUAAUUUCGCGGAGAAAUUUUUUUUUGAUUAAUUUUAAAAUUAAAGAUUUCUACAAUUUAUUAUUAUAGAAAGAAAGGGAAAGGUAAAAAAAUAACAAUAAUAAUUUUGACAAUUGACUAAUUAUUUUAAUUUUGUUAAUCGGUACCUUCUAUUUAUAUUUGAUUGUAAUUUUCUUAUGAUUAUGUUGGAAUUCAACUGACAUGGCCAUUAAGGCACAUAUAUUACCACCAGGUACAACGUCAGAAUUGGCCAACUCAACAAAAUUACAAAAUAACUUGAAAUCCUCAAUUCACUAAUAAGAUAGAUAUAGAAAAAUCAUACUCGAUUGUGCACAGAUGGCCAAGUUUAAAAGUUAAAAGACUUUUAAACAACCAAAGGUUUAUUUGGUUUUCCACUCAAAAUCUUAUUAUUAGCAUUCUGUUGGAAGAGCGGAGUGUGAAGGAGUGCAGAAGCUCUUCUUAUGAACACUUGCUCUUGACAGACAUGGUAACACCUUGACUGUAUUCCAAAGAAAGAAAGAAUAAUAUUGUCAUUGAUGUGGUUGCAACAAUUAAGAGAAAUGUCUCUUACAGAAUAUGGAAUCAAAUGCCACGAGCAAAUCCAAAAUGAAUGAUUAGAUUUGAAUGAAUAAGUUGUAAUGUUUCUUUUUUACUAUUUUGCAGCAUGAUGCUGCAUAAAACUGAUGCUAUCAACAAAUUAAAUCUUCUUCAUUUCUUAACCCAAAUUGCCUUUUUAUGUGUUCCACUUUAAGAAUAUGAAGUGCAUUUUCUUUCUAACUAGGCUUCCAAGUGAUAAUAAAAGAAUUACUUCAGAGGCUCUUCUCUGAGCUAACUGGCUUUAAGCAGAAUGUAGUUGUUGGUGUUUGAAGUGCAGAGAGGAGAUAUUCAAUGCACAUACAAAAGCAUAUAUAUAUACAUAUAUACUACUUGUGGAGAAAAAACAACAUCAAAAUGAUCCAAUAAAACUGAAGUAUAAACUGAUUUUUUGCAUCAAACAAAACAAAUCAUUAAAAAGAAACAAAACUGCAAGCUUUCAUUAUAGUGUUUAGUAUAGCUUUACAAAGAGAAGCAAAUUAUAAACCAUAAAUCUGCCAAUGUCAAAUCAGAAACAAAAAAUCUUUCCUACAAAAACCAGUGCUUAGUAUAGUUUCUUUCUUCAUCCAUAGAAACAAAGGGAUGUUCCAGUAACAUAUCAGCAGACAAUCUCUGAUCAGCUCUUCUAUCCAAACACCAACCCAAGAAAUUCUUUGCCUUCACCGAUAAAUGCUUAGGAACCGCAGGCACUCGAUUAGUAUAACCAAUCACUAGGAUGAUAUCACGACUAUAACGAAACUCCCAGACUGGUUUUCCUGUUAGCAUCUCCAACACAACACAACCAAGUGCCCAUAUAUCUGCAGAAUACCCCAGUUUUUUAUGCUUCACCAUUUCCGGCGACAUAUACAUGUGUGUUCCUCUCAAACCGGUGCACUCUUCUUCCUCUCCAUGCAUCGCCUUUGCUAACCCGAAAUCAGCAAUUUUCGCCAUAUAGUUUCCAACCCUUAAGCCAGUACCAGGCACAAGUAAGAUAUUACCUGGCUUGAUAUCACAAUGAACAUAACCAUGACUAUGAAUGUAUUUCAAACCACGAAGAAUAUCCCGCGUGUAAUUCUGAACGACGAUCUCAGGCAACCCACCGCCAGAUAAGCUAAUAUGAUCACCUAAACUAAGACGAGAACAGAACUCCAAAAGCAAGUUGUAUAUUUUCUCACCGUUCCUCAACUCUGUUAUUUCAUCCCCAUAGCAACGAACAACGUAAGGGCUUGUACCAAGAUUAGAAAGAACCUGUUUCUCGUACUGAAGUGCAGAAGCGAGCUCCAUCGUCGCUGAUUUUACAGCCCAUAUGAAAGGGAAGAUGAGAUUCUCGGUUUUUUCUUAGCGCGUAAAAAACAGAACCAAAACCCCCUUUUCCAAGCAAGUAGACUCUCGCCCAAGAAACUCCAUGUGAAGUUUCUAGACUAAAACCAGGCAUGGUCCGUUUCUUCUCCAUGCCCAUCUUCUUGAAGGCAUCUCGCCUUUCCAUCCGAUUGCCAUAAGAGAAAACUGAAUUUAUAUUCAUAUUUGAAGAGAAUUUAAUGUGAGAGUGGUAUUUAUAAUGGAAUAGAAACUCACUUUGCAAGAUGUUAAUUCUAAGCGAGAAACAUGCGGAAAUAAUCUUGGUUGAAGGGAUUUUUUCUUUCCGCGUACAAAAUUGAACCAAACUCUGUGUCUAAAGUAAGGCCAGUAGUGAUGCUCUGUUUCUUUGCCAUGUUCUUGACUGGUUUCUUCAUCACCGCCGUCAGAGAAAUUGCGGUAGUUUGUGGGAUUUGGAGUAUUAGAUUAGUUUACUCGGAGACUUUUCAUACUUGAGAAUCAAGAAUCUCUAAGUACGAGUGUGAUAGUUUCUGUUUUCACCGUUAUUUUCCCCAACCCAUUAGUUGGACAUGUGUUGGGAGAGAAUCUAAAUCAUCAUUAAGAUCUUUUGACAUCGUUAAUAACAUUAUACUUUGUAAAUAAAUCUUUUAUAAAUAUAUAUAUUACUGAUUAUUUGAAACCACAAUGACAUAUUGAAAUAAAAAGAAAAAACAAAAGUCCAAUACUACUUGACUAAGGAAAUUUUCAGUUUAUUAAUUUGAAGAAUUAUUUAUGAGUUAAUCUCAGAUUUUGACCAUCAUGGAUUUAAUUAAUUGUUAGCUUCUUGCUUUUCAAAUGUCUAAUCAUACAAAGUUCUUGGAAUAUAAACUCAAAUUGGACUUACACAUACCAAAGUAACAAUAUCGAUUUAAAUAAUACCCACGCGUGUCAACGUUGACAUAACAAAAAUAAAUUAAAAUAAAAUAACGUAAGGUGUUUAAAAUUUCAUCUCAUGUAAUCAGCAUAUACUUGAGAUAAAUAAUUAGAAUAUAUCGUUUUGUUUAAGAAAAAAAAUAUGUAUUAAUAAUUGACUAUAAAUUGCUGUACAAAUCUUGUGGUCAAAUUUUCUUUUUUCAUAAAAUAAGAGAGUAUAGCUCUAAGAAGACAGACACAAUCUAGAGUAUGUUACACCUCUAGAAUCAUGCAACAGCCAGUCAUCCAACCCAGGAAGGGUGAGCCUUCCCUUGAAUGAGCUGGACCACAAGAGAAUUAUCACUUUCUACCAUAAGAGGUCUAAAAUUUCUUUGCUUAGCAAUCUUCAGACCUUCUAAAAUGGCCAAUAACUCUACACUCGGGAUCGAACAGCUCCUCAGGUUAGAAAAAAAAAACCAACAACACAUUUACCAGCAUGAUCUCUAAACAGCCCCCUCCACUUGCCCUAUGAGCAACAACUGAGGCGUUUGUAUUCAACUUCAAGAACGGGAUGAGAGGGAGGAACCCAAUAAACCCAUGACCAUAUGCACCUUGUUACUCAGAACCUCAACCAAAUUCAAUUUAGCAAAGUCUGGGUUAUGAAUAUCUCAAGCAGAAAACACAACCUCAUCUUACAAACUUUUAACCUUAAUGUGCUCAUCGACAAAAACUGGCUUUUUAUUCUUUUGGUGUAAGUUUAGGAAAUAAAUUAUACAAAAAGUUGAUGUUUGGACAAAUUGAAUAUUACUUCCAAGUUCAGGGGCAAAUUGAAUUUUAUUUUUUAAUCUUAUCAUUAAUACGAGAGAAUAUUAACAUUAUUCGUAAUAAAUACAUUUAAGUUUCUAUAGUUUGUUAUGUCAAAAAAAGAAGAUAAAAUAUAUUCUAUUAUUUUGUUUUAAAUAAUAAAUAUACUUAACCAUAUAAUGAUUUAACACUGUCAGCAUUUAAUGAUAUUGCAUAAAAAUUUUAUUUUUAAAAAAUAUAUAUAUCUUCUUCUUUUAGAAACAUUGGAGGGAAAAACCCUAGAAAAAAAAACUAAGACAUAAAACGCCUAACACGUGACUAUACCAUACAUUUAAUUUUCCAAUGCACGAACAUUGUCACUUCAAUAGUAUGACUAUCAAGAAUAUAGUGACCAAUCGCUCCAUUCACAGCCAAAUUAGCUAACCUAUCAGCAACUUUAUUCACUUCUCUGUAACAAUGUUGAAUCCGAACUUCCCAACUCUGAGAGACAAGAGCUUGAUAUUUUCUUUACUUAUGUAGAAAAACUUUUCCUUAAAGUUUGGGAUAAAAUUCAUUUUUCAUGAAUUAGAUUUCUUUUUUAUUUUAUUUUUUAAUAACUCAAUCAAAUAUUAAUUUUAAUUGAAUAAUUAGCUCCAUAAUACCUAAUGAAUUUUUGCCUUAACAAAAUUUAUCUUUGAUUAAUAUCUUUCCAUAUUACAUUACAAAUCAGAAAAUAUGAAAAUAAGAGCUUCUGUACAUAAAAUUUGUGAAAAAUGCGACAUAUAAUUGUGUUAAGAUUAAAUACAUAAUGCAAGACAUAUAAUCAACUCAAGUUGACCAAAGUUUGAAUAACAAUUUAUUCAAUUUGCACGGCUUGGAUUAUUUAUAUUUUAGUAUAAUUAUAAUUUCAAUUUAAUUUAAUAGCAUUAUCUUGAUGGAGAUGUAACUACUAGAUAUUAUCUUGAUAAGGCAUUAUCUGAAAAUAUAAAAUAACUGAUGUCAUUACAAUUAUACUAAAUAACUGCUCUUUUUACACUUCGCAAUUUGAGAGAUUUACACUUGAUUGUCGUAUAAGAUAAACUUCUUUGCUUUUAUUUGUUAUAUAAUUAAUUGUAUUUAUUGGGUAAAUUUAAAAGCACUCUUCCCAACACAAUUAUAAAAAAUAAAAGCAGAAAAAGAUAAAAAAAAUCUCAAAUUAGUUAUGGAAUGAUGAAAAAUAUAGCUUUUUAUGUGCAAUUUGCAUUAAUCUAAUUUUUGUGCUUAAUUUUUUAUUUGUAGUUAUUUAACAAGAAGUUUGAUCUUAUAUGUAGUUUACUUAAUCUUUAUUUAUUAUAUAAUGUCUAAUUAUGUAAAUCAAGACGUAUUAAUAUUUUGUACAUCUAAUUUGUAGUUUAAUUAAACUUAUCCUAAAUUCAUGUAUAUAUUUUUUUUUAAAAUAAGCCAUAUUAUAUAUUUAGAUAAAAUUAUUCAUUUGAUUUUUUUUAUUCAAUUAUAUAUGAGUAAUAAUCUUUGAAUUAAUUAAAUUUUAAUGUUAACUGGAACUAAUCCUCUCUGUUCUAGUUUCUUUUCAAUAAUUUUUAUAAAGAUAAUUUUUAUAUUAUUUACUUAUAGAAAAUUUUAAAAAAAUUUAUUUAAUUUUAAAUUUUCUGAACUUAAUUUAGAUAUUAUAUUAUAUUAUGUGUAUAUUAUAAAUUUCAAAAUAUAGGAUUUAUACAUUGGAAUUUAUCCCUGCUUUUCAAUAUAUUUUCACAAAUUUUCUAAAUGAAAUAUGAUCUAAUAUAUAUAUAUAUAUAUAUAUAUUAUAAUAGUUCCCUUUAGUAUUUAAUUUAUAAAUUUUAAAAUUAUGAGUUGUUUAUACUUAAAGUUAAAAGUAAAAUUUUUUAUUCCAUAAAUUUUCCAUCUAUGUGCAAUUUAAUCUCUUACCAUAAUAUGAUAUAUAUGAUUAAAAAAAGACGAAUAAGAAAUCAAUAAUCAUAGCUAACUAUAGGAGGUAUAUAUGUACAAAUGUCAUGAUAUCGUAGUUCUCUACUAAUACAAAAUUUCUUUAUUCUUUAUCGUAGUAAAAGCCUUUUAACAAUUAAAAUGAAUAUAUAUCUUUUUUUUUUUUUUUUAAAUUUGACUAAUGAAAAAUCUAACAUGAAUUGCAUGCUUUAUUAGUUCAAGUGGUUAGCAUCACUUUUUGGUGGUUUUGGAAAUGAGAAAUGAAUGAAUUUUCAAGGUAAGAUGUUCAUUUAGAGGCUAACUUCUUUUGUAUUAAGUUUUCAACUCGUACUAUAACUUGAAAUACUCUUCAGAGUAAUAAUUGGGUUAUGCUACCUUUUGAAUUUUUUCUGUUGUUGCUUGAAUUCCUCAGGUUAGAUUAGCUCUAUUCAUUGAGAUAUUUGUGGAAAUUGAAUGGAGAGUGAUAUGUUGUUGCUUCAGUUCCUCUUCAAUUAGGGUAGCUUCAUGGGUUGAUAUAGUUGGAUAAAUUUAAUGAGGAGUGAUAUAUAAAGAUGGGGAUGAAUAUUGUUAGUUAGAUACAUAUAAGUUAGUUUAAUUUAUUGUUGGGAUAGUUGAGAGUCAAGUGUGAGUGACAUAUAGAUGUAAUUAUUUUUACACUUGAGAAUCAACUCAUUAAUUGAAUCAAAAUAUAAUCUUAUUCUAACAUUAUAUAUUACUAUAAUUAAAUAUGAGAAGAACCUAAUAUUUUAUUAAUAAAUACAUUUAAAUUUCGAUGGUUUGUUUUGUUAAAUAAUAAAUACUAAAUUGUAAAAUGAUUUAAUAUUAUCAGCAUUUAAUGAUAUUGCAUAAAAUGCUAUUAAAAAAAUUAUUAAAGCAGAAAAGUUUUCCUUACAAUUUGGGACAAAAAUUAUGGUUCAGGAUUUAAUUAUAUUUUUGUCCAAUCUUUUUAUAUUUUAAUAAUUAAAUUAAAUAUUAAUUUUAAUUGAAUAACUAGCUCCAUCACGCCUAGAAAUUUGGUCUAUACAUGGUCAAUCUAUAAACGGUUAUUUGACCAUAUCAAGAUACCGCUCUUGCCUGACACCACAGGGCUUGUACCAAGACUAGAAAGAACCUGUUUCUCAUACUGAAGUGAAGAAGAGUGCUCCAUCGUCGCUGAUUUUACCGCCAUGUGAAAGGGAAGAUGAGAUUCUCAGGUUUUUCUUAGCGCGUAAAAAACAGAACCAAAACCCCCUUUUCCAAGCAAGUAGACUCUCGCCCAAGAAACUUCAUGUGAGGUUUCUAGACUAAAACCAAUCAUGGUCCGUUUCUUCUCUAUGCCCAUCUUCUUGAAGGCAUCUCGCCUUUCCAUCGUGAUUGCCAUAAGAGAAAACUGAAUUGAUAUUGAUAUUUGAAGAGAAUUUAAUGUGAGAGUGGUAUUUAUAAUGGAAUAGAAACUUACUUUUCAAGGUGUAUAAUUCUAAGUGAGAAACAUGCGAAAAUAAUCUUAGUUGAAGGGAUUUUUUCUUUCCGCGUAGAAAACUGAACCAAACUCUAUUUCUAAAGUAAGGCCAGCAGUGAUACUCUGUUUCUUUGCCAUGUUCUUGACUGGUUUCUUUAUCACCACCGUCAGAGAAAUUGCGAUAGGUUGUGGGAGUUGGAGUAUUAGAUUAGUUUACUCGGUGACUUUUCAUAUUUGAGAAUCAAGAAUCUCUAUGUAUGAGUGUGAUAGUUUCUGUUUUUACGUUAUUUUCCCCAAACCAUUAAUUGGACUUGUGUUGGGGAGAAUUUUAAUCAUAAGUAAGAUCUUUUGACAUCGUUAAUAUCAUUAAUUUGCGGGAUAUAGUUCAACUUUAUACUUGUAAAUAAAUCUUUUGACAUCGUUAAUAUAUAUAUAUAUAUUACUGAUUAUUUGAAACCACAAUGAUAUAUUGAAAUAAAAAGAAAAAAACUAAAGUCCAAUACUACUUGACUAAGGAAAUUUUCAGUUUAUUAAUUUGAAGAAUUUUUUAUGAGUUAAUCUCAGAUUUUGACCAUCAUGGAUUUAAUUAAUUGUUAGCUUCUUACUUUUCAAAUGUCUAAUCAUACAAAGUUCUUAGAAUAUAAAUUCAAAUUGGACGUAGACAUACUAAAGUAACAAUAUUGAUUCAAAUAAUCCCGAUACGUGUUAAUCUUGACAUAACAAAAAUAAAGUAAAGUAAGGUGUUUAAAAUUUCAUCUUGUGUAAUCAGCAUAUCCUUCAGAUAAAUAAUUAGAAUAUAGUAUUUUGUUUAAGAAAAAAAUAUUUAUUAAUAAUUGACUAUAAAUUGCUGGACAAAUCUUGUGGUCAAAAUUUCUUUUUUCCAUAGUCACAAAGCUCUCUUUAAUGUCUUUCUAGCAAUGAAAGAAUAAGAAGGAGACGCAUGUUAUUGACAUCCAAAUACAUUUUGUUCAUUUUUGUCUUACGUUUGGAAGGUUAUUUAUAUCAUUUUUCAUCUACUUAACAAACUAAUUAGAGAAAUUAGACGAAAGCACAGAAUGUUAUGACGAAAUUAAAACAUAUGGACUUCAAAAAACAUUUCUAAAAAUGCAUGGAUUGACUAGUUGUAUUUUGAUAAAUAUAUGGACGUAAUACUAUGCUUAAUUAUUCAACUAAAGAUCUUAAUCGAUUCUCCUUUAGGGCAAUUUCUCAAACCUAACCAAACUAGAAUGAAAAAUUGAAGUGAAAAAUCUAAUCAAAACAACCGAAUUAAUCCAAAAUUAGGUAAUGUCGAAAAAUUAAGCGAUACAUAAAUUCACUUUUAUACAUUUGGUAGAAAACCCUGUGGCACCAAACUUUACGAUUUAGAUUUUAAAUUAAAUUAAAUUUUCGCAAAAAAUUAAAUUCUUGAUUUUAAAUUUAUCACUAAGACAAGUGGACAUAUUGAAAAAAAUGAACAUCAAUUUGUAGUUCAAAAUAGUAAGUAGAGUGUUAAUCUAAAAAAAAAUUACUAACCAGAAUGGGUCUACCCAAACAGCAAGUAGUCCACAACAAAAGAAUUCUUUUUCUAUUUAAACUAAAAAGUAAUUUCCAAGUGUACCCAUCUGUUAGGUUUGAACUAGAAUUUGUUUAUAUUUUUUUAUGAACUAAAACUAACCGGAACAGUCCGUUUCAAAAAUUAAAUUAGAAUGGUAGUUUAUAGAUCGAUUCAAGUUCAAAAGGAAGAGAAGAAUGCAUUCGAACUGAUUUAUGACCAGUAGUUCAAAUCAACAGUUUAGUUUGACUUCAAUUGAUGUAUAUAAAAUUUUUAAAAAUUAAUUAACUGAAUUUUUAAUUUGUAAUUAAAUAUGAAAAGUUAAUUUAAUAAUUGUUCCAUUUGCAAAUUAGAAGACAGUUUUGAUUAAUUAUUCAAUUUUCAAUUCUUAAUUAAAUUUAGAAAAAUAAUUCAAUUUGAAUUGAAUAAAUGACAUACGAAAAGUCAAUUACAAUUAAUUAUUCAUUUUUGAAUUCUUAAUCAAAUAUGGAGAAUUAAUUUUAAUUAAUUAUAUACAAUCAAAUAUGGAAAAAGCAGUUUGGAUAAUCAAUAUAAUGUUCACUUAAUUUUUUGUUUUCGAUUGCGGGUUCAGUCUAUUCCAGCCAAAGGAUAUGCAAUAUAAUGUUGCGAUUCUCAGUUCUCACUUCUCAGACUAACAUAGUAAUUGUCGCAUCAGGUUUUAAAAGGACAAUUCUCCCAUGUUCAAUGUCAUGAAUUUAGGUGUCAACGAUUAAAGUUUUCAAUUUUCAUUGUAAUUGACUGAUUUCGAUUCUAAAAGAGCAGUGCUAAAUGACACAAUAUGUGUUAGACUCAAUAAAAUUUUUAAUUGUGCAUUUACCUAAUCGCCUCACAUUAAAAUUUGCGGUACGUGAUAUGAGAAGGGUGAAUGAAUAUAGUUGUAUUAGCGAUCAUUUAUUUUUUUUCAUUAGAAAAAAUGAAAGUUAGCCGGUAUGUGACGUGAGAAAGGUGAAUGAAUAUAGUUGUAUUAGCUAUCAGUUCUUUUUUCUUUCAUUGGAAAAAAUGAUUCUCUUCCUAAGUACAGUGAUUGAAUUGUUGGCAAGUAUAGAAUGCAAAGAAAGGGAUGAAUAGAGAUGGAGGGCUCUGAAAUAGUGAAGUGGGUAUGCACUUCCAAAACGACAUCGGGAUUUGCAUGCAUACGUAGAUAUAUUAUUGGGCUAAGAAAACAGAAUAUCUUGGACUUGAAUGCAUGGUAGGCAGUUAGUGCUGAUGAGAAGCCCAAUUUGCUCAAGAUGAAGAGGGAAAAUAAUAUUCCAUCCUUUAGAUACCUUGGACUUGCUGACCUGCUUCAUUGCCAUGUGUAUACGUAGCAUAUUUAUUAAACAAAUAUGUACAUCAAAUAAACAAUGACAACCUUAUCAAAUCUUCAGUUAAUUAUUAUGUGAUGACAUUUUAAUUAAGUGUUAUUGGCAUUGAUUACGGGAAAAAAUGCACUAUAUUGAGAAAUUAUAUCAUUCAGUAACAUUUUCAAAACACUAAAAAUGAGUAGGGAUGCAGGCUAUUUAAAUUGGCUAACUCCUAACCAUAAUCAUGUACACAUAAUUUAAUAGAUGGAGUCGGAAAAAAAAAUUCAAUAAAUCGGGUGACAAAUAGAUUCAAUUGUAAGUGAUCGAUUGAUGGAACCAGUUCACUCCAAAUCGAUACAAUUUUACGUGUUUCCAAUAGAAGAAUUAUUCAAUCGGAGUGCAUUGCACAUUAGAUGAAAAAUUACUAACAUUUGAACAACAUACUGUGACAUUUUUUUACACUUGCUCUUGCCUAUCAUGAUAAGUUACUAAUUCACAUAGCAGGAGGUAAAAGAAUUGAGGACACAUGCAUAUGCACGAUGUUCUAAAUCGCGUUCCAUUCAACAAUACGCAUCAAGAUUGCACAAGACAAUCACUGAAUGAAAAAUAAAAUACAAAAAAUAUGAGAAAUAUAAAAAAAACAGUUCAUAAGGAUGGAAUAGAGACCUAGUAUGAAAUCAGGAAAAGAUGACAUGAAAAGGCUUCAAACUCGUGUCACUGUUGGACAGUGCGCUCACAUAUCAAACUAAAAAGGUAAGGGCAUUACAACCAUUUUCUUCACAAAAAUUCCAGUUGAGUCUCACACGUGCUUUGCCAAAAAUCUUUACCGAUUCUAGAAGCAGGAACUGGGACCAGACUGAUCUAUGGCUUUUCAGCCUCAGUCCAACUUGAAAUCUGAACUUUUCAAACAACUCAUUGCGGUUUGAUUCUAAUUCAAACCGAAUCAAUGGUGGUGCAGGCAACAAACACCUCAAUUAUAGGCGAUCGUGUUGGAGCUAUCUACGGUCAUUUAUUUCAUUUUCGGUUCCCAGUACCUAACUGCCUCCCUCACUGUUAAGGGCAUCACGUGGUAACUGAUUCGUAUCGGAUGGGUCCCUCACCGUGUGUCGGCAAAGACUUCAUACGUAGCCUUCCAAUGUUAAAAAUAAAGGACAGUAAAGUAUAUAUUAUUAUUAUUAUUAUUAUAAGUAUGCAUUUAAAAGGUAACAAUAUAUUAUUUUUAUUUAUUCGAAGAUCACUUAAUAAUUACAAAAUGUCACUUUAAAAUUAAAUAGAAUAAAAAAACACCGUGGCCUUCAAAAAUUUCCAUGGAGAAAAUUAGUUCAUAUCAUUCCAUCAGCAAGAUCAACAAGAACAAAUGAAUUGAACUUAAGAGGACAUUGAGUCUUGUGUGUGUAUAUAUAUAUAUAUAUAUAUAUAUAUAUAUAUGAUUAUAUAAUUUGCUUGCCCACCAGUGCUGGAAGAAAGAACAUUUCACUAAUAAAAUCCUAUGCAAUUCAAAAUUUCUGUUCAAGUUUCUCCUACAUACCCAGAAUAUGUAAACCUGUAAUUAUCUUCAUCUGCAAAACCAAUACUAGGAUCCUUUCCUUCCUUAAUUACCCUCCUAACACUCUCUAUUCUCUCAAGAAUUCCCUUUACUGCUAAAUCAAAUGCAUCUUCAAUUGUCUCCAAUUUAGACCUGGGGUCUGCAUAAAUUAUCCUUGGAAUAAGCCUUAUGACCUCUUCUCUCAUAUACAAUACUCUAUCUUCUGGUAUGCGAAGUAACGUCUUGUUUAUGCCAGCUUUCCAAUCUUUAAUAUCUCUAACAGGUAUAAAUACAGAAUAUUUACUGUAAUUCUUUGGCAAAUGCCACUUAUAUUGAGCAUAGGCGGUGCCGGGAUGAAAGAAAACUGGGAUACACCCUGCCAAGAUAGAGUCAAAUAUAGAUCGCCUGGUAUAUGAAUCCCCUGCUGGCUGCAAGCAGAAAACUGAAUUUUGAAACAAUUUCAUCACAUUUGCCGGAUUAUCGCAGGUAAUUACACCAUUAACACCAUAUUCACACUCUAACAACUUGCAUAUAUUCUUAGAAGCUUGACAUUCCUCAAUAAUCUUGCCUCGGACCGAGUCUUUAAGAUCCGGCCGUGGAGCACCAGCAAAAGAAAACAAGUACGGCCUUUUUUGUUUUCUCAUCUUUUCUUGCCAUUCAAACACCUCACUAUCUUUUGAGGGAUGAAAACAUGUUGGAUAUGGUAUAGCAUAAUCAUUUUUCCAAGAACUACACUCAAUGGACAACAUUGACAAGUUAUUAGAUUCUGGCAUGGUUCUAAGCUUACUACCCCAAUCAGUUUCAUUAUCAGUUCGUCUUCUAAAAUCCCAAGAAAUCCUUCCUGCAACAAAAAAAUGAUCUCUACCCCACAAUUUUUUCCAUUCAGGUUUUUGAACUAGCCAAUUGAAAAGAUCAAAACCAGAUUUAUCUCUUAUUGAGGCUUUAACACCCCAAAGAUAUCUACUGACAUCAAGACCAGCAUAAAAAGGCACGUAAAUAGCAGAGGCAAUAGAAGAAUCAUUAGUUAAACACUUAUACUUUUUCAUUCUAUUAUGGAAAAUUACUUCCAACAAGAAUUGAUUAGUAGAAUACCAACUCUUAUUUAACAAAACUCCUUGAGCAUUUUCAACUUCAGCACCCAAACCAUAAUUAACCAAAUAAGGACACAUAUUAUGCUCAGUCCCUGGUGUAAUUGAUUCACAAUGGUCAAGAAAUUCUUGGUUGAAUUGACUAGGAAGCUCAUGAAUAUAAAUAAAUUGACCCAAACAAGAAUCUUUAACAUAACGGGUUUCGUUAGGUCUAAUUGAGGUUUGAUUCAGGGUUUUGGAUUCAAGGGUAGAGACUGAAUUCUUAUAGUUUUCCACCAAAAUAGACAAAUUAUCUUGGGGUCCAGUCAAAGCUGAAUAAUCAAAACAAAGUAAUAUAAAACAUGAAACAAAUAAAACAAGAAUCACCAACCAGAGUUGAUAGUUGCAGAAAUGUCUGGAAAUUGGCUUCUCCAUCUUCACUUGAAGCGAACAAAAAAUGGCAGAAAUGCCUAGAAAUACAUAAGAAUCUUGUGAAAUGCUCAAGUAAAAUUGAGAGAGAAGGUAGAGAAUCUGAACUCACAAUAACAGUGAUUAAAGAAUCAAAUUUAAAGCUAAAGAUGGAUUGGAUUUUGUUUGGAUUCGAGCCUAUUGAGGAAGCAAACGUCCGUUACUUUGCUGGGCAAGAGAAGACAGAAAAUUAAAGCCUGGGACACAUCUCCCUCGUUUCCUCUAAUAAAACAGAAAAAGCUGUUUAAAAGUAAAUUUUUAUAGCUGAAAAAUAAGGAAAAUAGGGUUCAUAGUUCUCUGCAAUUUUUAAUUUCUUUUUUUUUUUUUAAUUAAAGAUUACUUAACUUUUUGUUACUACCAUUCUAAAAAGUAAUUUGUUAGGCUCCGCUUAUUAGGAAGGAAAAUUACUUUUUUAUAGAAUUAUAAAAUAAUUUAUUUCUGAAAAAUAAGAUAAAUUUUAAGUAACUCAUUUUUUAUUAUUUGACAAUAAUAUUGAAAUUAUUUGAAAAAAAAUAUAUAAAAAUCUACAUGCGGUGUUAAGUUCGCAAGUCCAUCAUGUUGGGCCGACCUCCACUCCAUUAGUUUUUAUGAAUUAUUAUCAUGGGCUUAGUUUUAGGCCCACUUAGAUGGACUUCAUUCUAAACCAUCAAUCUAUCUAUCUACAUUAAUUUAAAUAUAUAAAACUUAUAACAUAUUCGAUUCACAUGACAUAAUUCUAAAAUCUUAAUUUACCUAGUUGUUGAUAUUUUACAUUUAAAGAAAAUUAUUUUUUAAUAUCAUAUAUAUAGAUACAUAUUGAUAACGUGAAAUUAAUAUCAUUAAUAAUCUUAAUAAUAUUUUAUAGUUUUUAAUAAUUAAUAAAACUAAUAAUAUCAAUUAUAUUAAAAAUGCUAAACUUCAUUAUCAACAUUUAAAUGGAGGUAAUUGGUUGACAAGGAGAUAGAGGACAGUUGGUUAUUAAGCAAAAAUAAAUGGAGGUUAAAAGGUCAAUUCCAACAAAGUUGAGCUCAAAUUUGGUUUAUUUAACAAAUCUGAAUCUCUUUUGUAUUCAUGUCAGCGGCUAAAUCAUACAUAUCUCAAAAUUUGCUACUUGUAACAAUUGCAUCUUAAAUUGAAAUUAAACACCUCAGAUACCCCAAUUUCAAAUUUAUGUAAAAUUUGCACUCUAAUUACACAUUCAGUCAAAAUUGGCAUUAAAAUAUAAUAAACACGACGCCACUGUAAUGAACUAACCCAACUCAGGUUAGCUAAGUAAUGCACACCAUUUAGGGAUUGAACAAUUCAUCCCUUCUUCGUUCCUUCUCUCUUUAGUUAAAAUAAACAUCUCAUCUUCGACACCAUAUACUCAAACCCAAUGGUUUAAAAAUGAAAAUAGGUCCAAAGAACAACCAGUAGUACAAAUAAAUAAAUGAAAAGGGAAUUGAGAUAAAAAUAAUUCAUAAAUUGUUGCUGAAAAGAAAAAUCAAAAACAAUGAAAGAGUGUCACACAUUAUCCCAGUAUAAGACGUGGCAUGUUGCCCGUAAUAUGCUUGUUAAGCACUUUUUCUAAAUAAGAACUCAAUUAAUAUAUUACAAAAGGACUUAACUUUUCAUAUUGAAAAUGCAUGUGAGGUAAAAAUUUCAAAUACUAUUCGAAACAUUUUAGAUAUCAUAAGAUUCACUUUUAUAAAAAUCUCGAACUCAAUAAAUUUCAUUUUUAUAAAAGAUAUAACAUUCCACUAUUUAAAAUGUUGUAACUAAAAUUUCAUUAUAAAUUAUACAUUUUCAUACUCAAAUACAUUGGUUAAAACAUUACCCAUAAGUCUAUGAGAAAGAGGAUUACAUAUCGUAUUGUUCCUUUAGAGUCGUAUUAAGACAACAAAUUAGCUUUAAAGGUAACUAAACCUUUUGAGUGCUUUAUAACAUAUAUCAUUAAUUGUAAACUCAUAUAACUUUCAUUACAUUAGUCUGCUCAAUAUAUAUAUUAGUGACCAGUCUCUAUUUUAUACAUCAUACAAAUUCCAAUAAAAUUAUUCAUAAGGCAUUAGCUACAUCAAUAGCUCACCCUUCGAAAGUUGUAGAAAGAACUCAACACUCUUUCAGACUUACUCUCCUACUUCUCCUUUCCUUUUUCCUACGAUAGUAUAGAGAACAACUAUGCUAAGAAUAAGGCUUAAUAAUGCACUAUAUAAAUUACAUGAUAUAAAUGAUAAUUCACCAUUAGAUAUUUAAAAUAUUUAAGUGUGAAAAACAAAUUUCAACAAUUACCUAUUUCAAGAUCAAAACUUAUCAAUUACUUACCGAAAACAAAUGAGUUAGAUAGAAAUAACAAGUAGUCAUAUCAACUAAAUUACAUUCAUUUGCUUACCAAAAAUAAUCAAUUCAAUAGAAAUAUUAUAACAUAUCAAUAAAUCAUUAAUCAGUAGUUUUGUCUCCAUAACUUAUGCAGACUCAAUCCGAAGGGUCAUCAGUGUCUUAUGAGUUCAUCAAGACAAAGCUAUCUCAACCGCAAUCCGUGAUAUGAAUAUCAACAAAAGAGGAAAAAUCUCAAUCUCAUUUAAGAGGGAACAAUAACAUUUGCAAUAUUAUUCAUUGCAUAUCUAUAUCAAUCACAAUAUCAACUUCAACAAAUGAAGUGAUAUCAAGUAAUAACCAUAUCAAACAUUUAACUGUUAGUGUAAGAAUUAAUCUCAAAUAAUUCAAUAAUAACCUAGAUCGUGCAAACCACUAGAUUCAACAAAAUAGAUUGAAUAAGAAAAGGUUGCGUACCUGACAUCGUUGUUCGUCGAUCUUGAUGUAUAAAAUUAGGUUUGCAGCCUUCCAGAGAAUUGAAGAAUCGAUUUAGCGGAAGCAAUACGAAAGGAACGUAAAACUGAAUCGUAUUCAACUCCUCUGGGGACCACGACCUUUAUAUACCUGUAGGGUUAGUACAAUUCCUAUUUCGGUCCUUUAACGAAAUAGGAAUUAUAUAAUGGUCUCUACACUUAAUAUCUAUAAUUAGUUGAUACCUCAAUAAUCAAUUAUUCACAAUCAAGACCACAUUUGAAAUUGACUUUACAAUUGGACUGCUGUACAUAUUUAAUUUUACAUAUUAAGCCCACAAUAGAAAAUUAAAUCCAACAAUCUCCCACUUGGGCGAACAUAUGUUAAAUAAAAUACAUACACCAAAAUGAGCUCAACAAACGCAGUCAUACAAGGUAUCCAAAAACAAUCUCGUCCAUUAGUUAUAUUGAUAAAGAGCUGAAGAAACAUUCGCCAUAGAUCUCAUGACUAAGUUCAUCAUCAACUACAUUACCAAUACCCCUAAAUGACAUAGAUUCAUUAUAGAAGUGUAGCAUGAAAACUACAUGUAAUGUGAUCAUCAUGUCUGUUUCCAACUGGUCACCAACAAAAGUGAGAUCAAGCAAAACAAUAAUAAUAAUACAGAGUGUAACCAUCAACCAAAAUGAGUACUCAACAAAAUUUCAUAAUAAAACAUAUCCAAAAUAAAAUAGAGCAUUCAAAAACAUAAUGUAUGCAUAAAGAGCAAACUCCCACUAAAACUAGACAGUCUCAAACAAAACGAUACCCAUAUGAGCGGUGUGCUCAUGGAAAACUUUCGGUAUCACUGCCUUUGUAAGCGGAUCCGCAAUCAUAGAGUUUGUUCCAAUAUGCUCUAAGGAUAUCUGUCCACUCUGUACCCUCUCCUUCACAGCCAAGAACUUAAUCUCAAUGUGUUUUGAUCGAGAAGAGCUCCUGUUGUUGUUGGAGAAUAAAACGGCUGACCUGCUGUCACAAUACAACUUCAGUGGUCUUUCUAUUCCACCUACUACACGCAGCCCAGUGACAAGGUUUCUCAGCCAAAUAGCUUGAUUGGAUGCCUCAUAAGAUGCUACAAAUUCAGCUUCCAUGGUGGAGGUUGCUACUAGAGUUUGUUUCACACUCUUCCAAGAAAUAGCACCGCCAGCCAAUAGAAAAACGUAGCCAGAUGUGGAUUUUCUACUAUCUUGGCAUCCAGCGAAAUCAGAAUCAGUAUACCCAAUGAUCUCAAGCUGAUCUGAUCUCCUAUAUGUGAGCAUAUGUCCCUUAGUCCUCUGAAGAUAUCUCAUGACUCUUUUGGCUGCUUUCCAAUGAUCCAUUCCUGGAUUGCUGAGAUAUCUACCUAACAUGCCAACUAUAAAAGAAAUGUCUGGACGAGUACAAACUUGAACAUACAUAAGACUUCCUACAGCUGACGCAUAAGGAACCUUUUGCAUUUCCUGAAUUUCAAGUUCACUCUUUGGACAUUGUUGAUUACUAAAUUUAUCACCUUUUGCAAUAGGGGUAUCCAAUGGUCUAGAAUUCUGCAUACUAAAUCUCUUGAGCACUUUAUCAAUAUAGCUCUUUUGUGAUAAUCCAAGAAUACCUCGAGAACGGUCUCGAUGUAUCUGAAUCCCUAAAACAAAAGAAGCUUCACCUAAAUCUUUCAUCUCAAAAUGCUUUGAAAGAAAAACUUUGGUUUCAUGCAGCAAGACUUUACAAUUAGUAGCAAGAAGUAUGUCAUCCACAUAUAAGACCAAAAAGAUAAACCUACUCCCACUGAACUUAUGGUACACACAAUUUUCAACAGCAUUUGCCUCAAAGCCAAACGAGACAAUUACUUGGUUGAACUUAAAGUACCAUUGACGAGAAGCUUGCUUGAGUCCAUAAAUGGAUUUCUUUAAUUUGCAUACCAGAUGUUUUGGAUCUCCAAUUACAAAAUUUUCUGGUUGCACCAUAUAUAUUGUUUCAUCAAUGUCGCCAUUGAGAAACGCAGUCUUAACAUCCAUUUGAUGAAGCUCAAGAUCAAGAUUUGCAACUAAGGCCAUGAUUGUCCUAAAAGAAUCCUUCGAAGAAACUGGAGAGAAGGUUUCUUUAUAGUCAAUCCCUUCCUUUUGAGUAAAGCCUUUUGCUACAAGACGUGCUUUAUAUCUUUCCACAUUACCUUGAGAAUCCCUUUUGGUUUUAAAUAUCCAUUUGCAACCAAUGGGUUUCUUUCCUUCAGGUAAUUGAACAAGAUCCCAAACUUGAUUGUCUUGCAUAGACUUAUACUCUUCGUUCAUUGCCUCAAUCCACUUAUGAGAGUCAGAACUCUGCAUGGCAUGAUAGAAACUAACUGGAUCAUCAUCUAUCAUGUCUACAGUAUCCUCAUGUUCCUGAAGAAACACUAUAUAAUCAUCUGGAAUAGCACUUCUUCUCUCCCUAGUAGAUCUCCUCAAAGGCAUUUGAACAGGCUCUAAUUCUUGAGGUUGUUGAAUUUGUUCUUGAGGAAGAAUAGCAUUGUCUUGAAUUGGAUCUUGAAUAGUGACAGGAGCAACUGGAGUCUGUACGCUAUCAGAAACAACAAAAGGAAUGAGAACCGAAUCAUCCUUACUUGGUUCCUCUUCAAAGACAAUGUUUCUUUCUUUAUUUCUCCCUCCAAAAUCAACAUCCUCAAAAAAUGUUGCAAUUCUCGUUUCAAAAAAAGUUCUGGAAGUAGGAUUAUAAAACUUGUAACCCCUAGACCGCUCAGAAUAUCCAACAAAGUAGCUGCUGAUAGUUUUGGAGUCCAGUUUUGUUUCAUUCGGCUUGUAAGGCCUUGCUUCAGCUGGACAUCCCCAAACAUGAAGAUGCUUUAGACUAGGCUUACGUCCAGUCCAAAGUUCAUAAGGUGUUUUAGCAACUGCUUUAGAUGGAAUCCUAUUGAGAAGAUAAGCUGCUGUCUUUAACGCUUCACCCCACAGAGACUCUGGUAAAGUAGAAUGACUAAUCAUACUCCUUACCAUAUCCAUAAGAGUCCUAUUACGUCUCUCAGAUACACCAUUCAUGCUGGGAGUACCAGGCAUUGUAUAUUGAGGGACAAUUCCACAUUCCUGUAGGAAAAGCGCAAAAGGUCCUGGACGUUGUUCGCCUGAACCGUCAUAUUUACCAUAAUAUUCACCACCACGGUCAGAUCGAACAGAUUUAAUCUUCUUUCCUAGUUGAUUUUCAACUUCGGCUUUAUAAGAUUUAAACACGUCCAAAGACUCAGAUUUUUCAUGAAUGAGAUAUAAGUAACCAUAACGAGAAUAGUCAUCAAUGAAUGAUAUAAAAUAUCUUUGGCCAUUUCUAGCUGCAAUAUGGAAUGGACCGCAAAUAUCUGUAUGAAUCAGUUCUAAAACAUUGGAUGACCGAAUGGCACCUAGUCUCUUUUGUUUAGUCUGUUUUCCUUUAAUACACUCAAUACAAGAAUCCAAACCUGUGUAAUCAAGUGUAUCUAAGAUACCAUCAGAAACAAGACGCUCAAUUCUUGAUUUGGAUACAUGACCCAAACGUCUAUGCCAAAGUACAGCUGAGUUAUCAAUAUUCAACUUUCUUUUGGUACCUCUUGUAGUAACAUGCAGGGAUUCAUGAUAACUAGUAUCAAUGUCUAACAUAUAUAGAUUAUCACAUUCAUUCAAGCAACCAGUACCCAAAACUUUUGAAUUCAUAGAUAAAGUGAAUACACUGUCUCCAAAAGAACAAUGAAAACCAGAUUUGUCCAAAAAGGAAACAGAAAUCAAAUUCCUUCUAAAAGAGGGAAUAACAAAAGUAUCUAUAAGAUCCAAAAAAUAGCCAGUACUUAAACAUAAUCUAAAAUGUCCAAUUGCCUCUACUUCAACCAGAUCGCCAUUUCCCACAUAGACGUAUCUUUCACCGUCAGUUGGCUUUCUGUAGUUGAGGCAGCCCUGCAAUGAAACACUUAUAUGAGCGGUAGCACCAGAAUCCAUCCAAUAAGUGUUUUUAGGAGCUGAAGUUAAAUUAACUUCACAACAGACUAAAACAAGGUACUUACCCCUCUUUGCAAGCCAAAUAGCAAAUUUAGGACAGUCCUUUCUCAAGUGAUCCGUCUUUCCACAAAAGAAGCAUUUUGGCACAUAAGGCUUCUUUUGUACUGGAUCUACAGCAGUAGCAGCAGCAGGUUUCUCAAUAGCCUUUUCAACAGUCUUUGCAAAAGGCCUCUUUCUUUUCUUGUUCUUGCCCUUCCCAGCUGAAGAAACAAAAUGAGCACUCUCUCUUUUGUUAGAAUUCAUCUUUUCCUCCUCAUCAACACAAUGAGAAAUGAGCUCGUUAAGAGUCCAUUUAUUCGGCUGACAAUUAUAGGAAGUCCUAAUUUGUCCAUACUGAGAAGGAAGAGAAUUCAUAACCAAAUGGACUAAAAGGUCAUCUGGUAAAGCCAUACCCAGCGCCUUCAGUCUCUUUGCAAUCUGAGACAUGCUAAGAAUAUGCUCCCGAACACCACCAUUGCCAGCAAACUUCAUGGAGGUUAAUUUUCCUAAAAGUGUUCCCACUUCGGCUUUGUCAUUCUUGACAUAAGCCCUCUCCAGCUCGGCAAGAUAGUUUUGAGCAUUGUUCUUUUCAGCUGAGACAGAGUCUCGAACAUGUUCUGGGACUCCUUUCUGCAUGAUCAUCAGACCUAAGCGAUUAGAACGCUCCCACUUCUCAUACUGAACCCUUUGAACAUCAGUGCUCGUAUCAGUAAGAGGAGCAGGUUCGUCCAUCCUGAAUGCAAGAUCCAAAUCCAUACAGCCCAGAAAGAUCAUAAUGUCUGAUUUCCAAGACUCAAAAUUUGAUCCCUCAAGUUUAGGGACACAAUCAGGAUUAAAUGACAUGUUAGCUGACAUCAGAGAAAAUAAACAAAUAGAUAAGUAUAAGCUCACAAUCCACAAAUGAAACAAUUCACAUAAGUAGAGAUCAAAAAUGGAAAUAAGAUACAGACACAACAUUAAUAUUCUCAUCUUUGGAUGUAAAACAUUAACUUGUAAUUAGUAUCUCAACGCAGCAAUCAAAUAUUGAUAACAUAGUCCUGACAAAUAAUAAAUCUUCCUUUGGGCCGAUAUAUCAUUGUCAUGGAAAAUAAUCAAACAAUUAUCACAUAUUUAUUGCCAAACAUGUAUUCAAAACUCAGCCAGAUAGCAACCUUCCUUUGGGCCGAUUAACUAUCCGCAACGAAUUCUAAUACACCUGUCUAAUAUUCUAAAAUAAAUCAAUUCAAGCAAUAGAGGUCACUUUGGUGACUUAUUGAUCAAAUCAAUUUAUUUUAACAAAUAUCAAACACAAUAGGGACUUAAUCACUCCAAAAUUUAAUCUCAAGUCGACAAAUUAAAUCAUUUAAUUGUAAUUAAAACAAAACAAUUGCAAUUAAAUGAAUUGAUUGUCUAAAUAUUUAAUAAUCUAAAAUUAUUUAGCCCAAAAAAAAAAUUAUAAUCUAGUCCUUAAGUCACUAAAUUAGAGACUAACCUUUAAAACAUCUUCAUUAAAAAUCAAUCAUUAGCCAUAAUGGGUAACAUUUCAUUUUGCUCAAAUAUUUCUAUAUCCCUUCUUUCAAGAUCAUCCUCCAUUUUCCAUUCAAAUGAAUACUUCAUAAAACAUUUAACAUUAGCUCUUUAUUAUUUUAUAUAAAACACAUUUAGCUAUAACUUUAGCAUUUGCUUUCUUUAUAAUCAAUUCACAAAUUCAAUAAUCACAUUUGAAUUUAAUCUCAUUUGAUAUAAAUAUUUGAUAAAUAAAUCAAUUUUUUCUAUUAUAAAAGCUCAUAAAAUAGUAUGCUUAGCAUAUUGCUUUUACCUUGUAACUUUUCAUAAAACAUUUCUUUAAAACUGUUUUACUUAUCACUUAAACAAUAUAAGUUAUAAAUAUAGUGCACUAACAUGAAUUGGAAGGCUCUCCUAGCCUUACUUGUCUACUUAUUGACUUAACUUCCAAUCCUUUCCUCUCAGAUACUGUAGCAUGAAAUUAAUAUUCAUAUUAACUCCAUACUACUCAAUAAACACACAUAUACUAUCUUAAGAAUGUAAAUUAAGUAUUGAAAUGUAGUAUUCAUGCUUUUCCUUCAAUUUCACUAUGCUCAACCAACUACCAUAUGACCUUAAUUUAGGCAUGAAUUACUUUAUUUCCCACACUUAAUCACAUUCUAAAAACAUUAAAAUAACAACUAAAAUAAUGAGACUUAAUAACAUAUUAAAAGUAUGAUAAACUCCUUACAAACUAGUGGAAUAUAGCGUUCCAUGAUAUGAGUAGCCUGCCUUCCUUUGGCUAUAUCUCUAGUUCCUUAAAUCCAUUUGUCAUAAAAUUUUAAAAUAAUCUUUCUCACAUCUCAGGCUACUCCCAUAUAAAAUUUCAUGUAUUUUGGAGCUCAUUUGCAUAGCUAAAUAACCUAAACAGAGUACCUGAAUUUCAAUCAGCAUUUCCACUGAGCAGCCUGCAUUCAUUUAAUUAUAACUCCAUUUCUCUUCACCCAUUGCACUAGCCGUUUUACCACAACCUUUUCAACAUACUAAAAUAGUUUUUUUUUUAUAAAAUUUUAUAAUUUUUGGAACUCAUUUACCUAUUUAACCUAGUCCAUCUUAGUGACUAAAUUUCAGGAUGCUCAAUUGUGAUAGACUUAAGUAAUACUUUACCUCAUUAAGCAUCAUUAACUUAAUUCCACCACUAAUUUAUGCAUAACAAUUCUUCUAACACUUAAAUAGUAUAAUUACCUUUCAUAUAUCAUAAUAACUAAUCCAUAAAUUAUCAAUCAAAUGACUAAAAUUAUCCAAGUUGAUCAAUUAUGCAAACUUGACGUCAAAUUCAUGCUUAACCAUCCUUAAUCACCUUAAAAGCACUUAUAAUCACAUCAUCUCCAUCAAGUCAGCAACAAUAAGUAAGCACCUCAUAUCAUAGUUUAUGGAAAUAAAAAAUAAAACCAUAGAAAAGAAAGAGGAAGAGAAUAUAACCAACCUUUUCUUAAGGAUCACUUGAAAAUUUUUAAGCUUUCAUGCACUUUUAGCUUGCCUUAAGAGUUUUUUCUCUCUAUUUUCAUGGAGUUUUGACCAUUGUUAGCAAAAAAUGAGCAAGAGGUUCCUUAUGACUCAUCACAAAUAGGUGGCAAUCAAAGCCUUUCAUGGUAAUUCCCUUCAUCUCCUUUAGUUGUCUUUUUGCACCUUAAUCCUUUCUUUGAUUCUCUUUUCUUACAAUUGCACCUAAAUCUUUUUUAUAACUUUAUUUUAGUCCCAAUUAGGUCUAAAGAAAGUCUAUUUAAUAAUUUCAGUCAUGUUUAAGCAACAUUAUGCCAAAAUUAUCAAUUUUUGGGACUUGUGGAUAAAAUUGUGCUUUUCUGAAAAAUCAUUCUUCUUUAACUCAUUUUCAAUUCCCUUUAAUCUUUUUAAUUGAUUCAUAAAUACUUUAAUUUCCAUUUAAUUAAUAUUAAUACCCUCUAACUAUAGUGUUUCUCGCCAUUUUCAAUUUCUAGAUUGCUCGGAUAACCGAAAUUACUGAACAAGUUAGAAUAUCAAGAAGUACCAAAUUGAUGAUAUAUAUAUACACAAUUAGACCUUAAUCCAUUAAAUGCUAAAUCAUGGUGCUAGCCUAAGGAGCUUCUCGUGUUAGUUUCUCAUGUUAGCUUCUCAUCAUCAAAGCAAAAUGCAUAUUCAGAUAGUUGAAUUUUAGCAAUUUAGGCUUACUACGGGCUUCGGGGGCUUUAAACUUACCUGAGCCCUAGUGCCGGUCCCGUCCAUGGAAACAGGUCGUGACAAAAGCUUAAGCUCAUUUAACAUUCUUCUAAUUGGAUUUUCAUAACAAAAUUGAUUUCCAUUAAACAUCAUAACUUAUAAUUAAUAGUUCCUCAUUAACAAAUUAAAGUAAUUCCAAUUAUUCUAUCCUUCCGAAUAGCAAUAAUUACCAUAGCAAUCAGAAUAUUCGAGACUGUCAAAUUGGGGAUAUUACAUGCAAUGUGUUAAAAAGCGGGUCUUACACAAUCAUGCCUCACUCUUAUCUGUUUAAAGAGGAUACAUGUAGUUAUAAAUAGAUUUGAGACAAAUACAGAUAGUGAAAUUACAACUCAUAACGAAUAUGAGUAUAGGUCUUUGCAUACCUGGAACCCGUUACCCUAUAUUAAAUGGGUUUGAUAGUGAGUAUCCGCAAUACCCGAUCCAUUAUUAGUAUAAAAUAUAUUUUAAAUAAGUACAUAUUUGGAUAAUUUAAAAUUCAUAGUACCCUACCCAUUUAAGCGGUAUUUUAAAUCGGUUUGGAUAGAUGUGGGUAGUAAAAUUUUUAAACGAAUUCGAAAGGAUAUUUAAAUGUUAUUUAAAUAGAUUGUAAUGAGUAUGGAUAGUAAAAUUUUAAACGAAUACGGAUACGAGUAGCUUAAAAUUUGUGAAUACCCACUCCGGUUUCAUCCCUGCAAUUACCUUUUUGGUUAGCCAACUAAGUCAGAGACACUUAAUUGUAAAUUUUCAAACAUUCAUGCUCUCGAUCAUUAUCCUUUUUUAUUUACAUACUAGAAUAAAAAAAAAAUGAAAAGUUCAAACAAGAAAUAUAUGAUUAUCCUUAAUAAAAUACAUUCAAUCCAUUUUUGUAAUUUUAGCUUAUUUCACCACCAAAAUUCAACAUAAUCUCGAAAUUAAUUUAACCCUCAUGCAUGUAAAAGACUAUAAUUUCCUUCAUAUUAACAUGACAAUUAAAGACUUCCAAAAUUAUCAAAAUAUUUGAAUAUUAUGUAUCAACAUCAUAUUUGAAAAUGCUCUGAAUAAUCUCGACAUCAUUAUGCAUAUCAUGAAAAUAAGCAUGACCAUGGUUUUAAAAUUUACAAUUUCGAUUACAGAAUUGCUGGUUUCAGUAUAAUAAAUAUGAAACUGAAACCAAAUCAUUUUUAGGCGAUUUCCAAAAUGAUUUUAGAACCGUUGCUUUUUGGUCUGAUUUAAAAUCGAAAGUAGAUAUUUUUUUCAAGUUUUUUAUUUUUUUUAGAUUUGUAGCUUGUAUACUAAUAAUAAUAAUAAUAAUAAUAAUAAUAAAUAUAACUAUUGAAAACAUUUUUGUUAUGGUUUUAAACCGAACUAACUAUUCUUAUUAAAAAAAGUGAGGAACUGAAAACAAAUCAUCAAUAGACAAUUUUGUUAUGGUUUCAUACUAUGACCGCUUUUUAUGGUUUGAUGUCAUUUUCAAUCGGUUAAGUGUGAGUAGAUUUCGAUUCGGUUCUAAUUUAAAAUUGAACCAUGAUUAUGCCUACUUAAAGGCAUUAAAUUCGUUUCUGAAUAACCUCCAAACAUAUAAAACUAUCAAAAUAUUCUUUUAUUCAUUACACGACAAAUUAAUACCCAAAAUGCAUCCAGAUAAUUUGAACUUUCAAUUAAACAUUUACUUCAUCAAAUAGGAACUUCAAAUUAAUAAAUGCAUAAAAAUGAGUAGAUAACCUUAAAAAUUAAAUAUAUUAAACAUAACUUCAAAUUAAUAUAUCUCAAUACAAAGAGUAUUUAUUCCCAGUACUAUGUCCUUAUUUCAUACUUUUACCUAUUGUCAUAAGGUCAAUUUGAAGCAUAUACACAAUGUUUGUUCCUAUUCUUCACUUUCUAUAGCAUUUAGAAUGGUGCUGAGAAGCUCCUUGACAAUGUUGGCACCCUUAUGCGCUUUGCCCUCACAAUAGCUAAAAGAAACUGCAUAAAAUCAUCAAAGCCCAUUCACAAUAUAUAUUGUAUUCUUCAAAUUUUGAAAAUUGAGCAUAUUUGAAUUAUAAUUGUAGUUUAACGUGUUAAAUACAGAUUUAAAAUAAUGAGUAUUACAUUAAAAAUACAUUUUAUUAUAUUUCACUAAAUACAACCUAAAUGAAAAGUCUUCGAAACAAACAUUAGUUACCUUCACAGAUAAAAUUGUAGCAUCGUAAAUAUAUAAUUUUAUAUAUAUAACCAAUGUACUUUAAUAAAAAUAAGAUUGUAAUUUAGCAAUGCUAAUUAAAUUAUACCGUCACAAUCUUUUUUAGAAGUUCAUUCUCCUUCUUGAGCUCCUCAUUUUCCAAUUGUUGUUGAGCUUCAAGAGCCUGUGCCAUUGAAGGGAAUGAGGGAAUAAAACAAUAAAUUAAAAAAAAAAAAAAAAAAAAAAGCAGCUUCUUCAUCCCUCCCGUGUCAUUUUAUAUAUAAAAAGGAAAUUUAAAAAAAAAACAUAUUUAUUUAUUUUUUUAAUUAUAUGCUUCUAUUCACAUUAAACCUGUACCUAAUAUUAGGAUCACUGAAGAAAGAAAAUCUAUCAUUACUUCAAACAUAAAAUUUUCUCUAUGAAGAAAAUGAAUUUCACAUGAAUUUAAUCGAAAAAAUAUUUAAAAAAAAAGGAACAUACCUGCUUUCUUGCUCUCGACCUCGCAGCAGAUUCUCUAUUUUUGAUCAUCCUGUGGUGAAGUUUCUCAUAUGUUGAUUUAGCACUACUUGAUCUACCAUUAGAAGUUGAUAUUUUACCACUUUGGCUACUAAAAUUAUUGCUAAUCCCAUACAACAUAGAUUGAUGAUAAGGAUGAUAUGCUCUCGUAGAUCCAUCAACAGUUUGAUGGUAAUAAUUAGGAUUUGCCCUAUCAUUCGAACCUCUCAUUUCACUUCUGUUACCUUCAUCUAAGCUUUUCUGUUUCUUAAAUUUAGAGACAGAUACACCUGUGCUUAGUGAUAGAUCUGUUAUUAAUUGACAAGAUUUUGAUUCUUGAUCUUCUUGGUUCAUUUGUAGAUCAGAGGACAUGUUCUUGGUUGGGAAGUGGGUUUUAGGAGUAACAAAAAAUGGAGUACUUGGUCUUUAUUUAGAUAGUGUCUACAGUAACUGAAGGGAAGGUUUAUAACCAGCAGUGCUAUAGAGACAAAAUAAUUAGAAGACCGUGAGGGACGGUUUCUAUUGCUAUGAAGAUGUAAGCAAAUUUGGUAAGAUUGCAAUGGAGAGAGAAUUGACGAGUGGCAAAGAUUCUAGUUGAAAAUUCAACAACGCACGGACCAAAACCAUAUCUAUAACAAAACGAAACGGUUGAAACCGAUGUUUUUAGUGUAAGCAAGUUUCAGUGAUACAAACAAACCAGAGACAGUCCGUUCAUUUGGAAAAAAAAAAAAAAAUGUUGUAAUUGAGUUCAAAAUAAGUAUUUAGAAAUUUAAAAAGAAAUUCAAACUGUAAACAUAUAUAUAUAACUUAUAACUAUUACAAAGAACCUAUAGAUUAAGGUGAUAAAUUUGAUUUCCAGAAAAUACAUGAGUUUAUCCUUUAAAAAAAUCUAUAAUUGCCUCUUAUAGUUGGGCUAUUGAUUCGAAUUGUUUGUAUAAUAAAUACUGUUGAAAACAAAAAUUACAUAUGACCAUUAAAUUUAAACGAUUUGCCUUACAUUUGACGCGCUUGUUUUGUUUAGUUUAUGUGAUAGCAGUUACUAAUAGCUCAUAAUUUUAAUAUUAGUUGUUUGAUAAAAUUUUAGUGGAUUCGAAUCUGGAUGUAUGACCAAGUCGAGUAUGCAUUUACGACUGGCUAGCUAUGUCUAAGUAUGCUAUUUGGUUAUGAUAUAGAAAUAUUAAUUAAAUUUUAUAAUAAUUUUGAAUAAUUACAAAUAAAUCUUACAUAAAAUUAUUAAUUUGAGAAAAAAUUAAUUUUAAUAUUAAUUAUUUUUAUAAAAUUAAAUAUAAUUCAAAUAUAAAUUAGCUGGUAAGUGAUAAGAAAAAAUCUCGAAAAUGUAUCUAAUGCAAUUAACAAUUAAUUGGGAUUUUGAUCAGCUGCUAAUUAAAAUCUUUACCAAAAUAUCAUUAACUUAGUUGUUAGAAGCAAAUUAGCUAAUAUGUGAACCGCUGAUUAAAUCGAAUCUUAAUAACUAUGGGUAGAUUGUAUAUUUUCUAUUUAAUAAAUAAAAACAUAUUUUAAUAAUCAAUCGUUUAAAACAUAAAUAUAAAUAAGCUAGCAUUUAGGGAGGAACAAUAUAAGUUAGUGGUUGGAAAUUUUUUAUUAGAGAUUACCACAAAUUGAUAACGGCCAAACAGGAAUUAGGACCCAAAAAAUCUAACCUAACAACAACUAUUGCAGUGUAAUGUUAACAUUUGCCCAUUUGAUUGUUUUUCUGUUCCUUUGAAGAGAAAAAUCUUUUGGGUCAUCUCGUAAUAAAUAGUUUCCCAUUUGACCAUCACCGGAGGAAACAAUUCUCUUCCCUUAUUCCUUCAGUUUUCAGGUCAGGUACAAUUUUAUCAUCAUUUUUUUUUUUUUUAAUUUUGUAUUAUUCAUUAAGGCCUUCUAUUGCUAUGAUAUGAGAUCUGCAUUUGGGUAUAAUGAAAAUAGCCUCUUAAUUAUUUAUUUCUGACUUUUUUUUAGUAUUAAUUAUCAUUAAUUGCUUAUACAUAAUCCUUCAAAAAUAUAAAAAUUAGGUUAUCAAUUUGCAAUUUCUUUGUCAUUCAUUGGCAUGUGUACUUGAUUAGGAUCUUAAGUUUGAUUUUUGAUAUUCAGUUUCUAGAGAUAUAAUGAAAAAUAUUCAAGUCAUCUAUGUCUCUUAAAAAAAUAUUCUCAAAACACAAAUGUAAUUUAUAUUAAAAAGAUAAAUUCAUUUGUUAAAAAAUUUAUUUUUAAUCAUGUCAAUCUUUGGAGUUUAUCUUUUAUGCACUUGGAAUUUGCCUAACUUCUUUUUUAUAUAUAUAUCCAUGUCGAAAAUAUUUAACAGGAAGAAGAGCUGCUGAAGUUUUAAAUCAUGUCUUCUCACGAGGUAAUCAUUCAAUUAUUGUAUUAUUAAAGGCUGACUAUAUAAAUUCACUUAUGAAUUUCGUAAUUUUAAUCUUACGCAUCUUGGACUUUGUGAAUAACCUAUUAUAUAUUUGAAUUUGAAAAUUUUUGAUAAUAUUACACACCUUCAAACACUAAUAUCAAUAAUUUUUAGGGGUUUUGGCUUUUAACCGUAAAUUAUCGAUUUGAUAUUUAGUUAGCAUGACUUUUGGAAUAAUAAUUUUGUAAAUUUUAACUUUUUAAUGAGUGUUUAAUUAAUCUAAUUUUGCAAGUUAAAGUGUUCAAUAAAUGCUAUUAUAUAUAUUUUUUCUAAAUGUAUGGUCAGAAAAAUCCUCAUUUGAAUCAAAACAUCGUUUGUAAUUAAUUUGGUGUAUAGAUAGACCCAUAUAUCAAAUGUAGGUAAGUUUUUCCCUUGCCCUACUUAAUUAUUACUUUUGUCCAUUAUUCUCACUUACCAAACCUUCUAAACCUCACUAACUAGACACCUUAGUAAGUGAUUGAAUAUAUAAUUUCGCAAAAUUAUUUAUUGUAUUAGCAUGUCUUAAUUGUAUAUUGCAAUAACUAGUUGUCAAAAAGUUGUAUAAGAACACAGUUAAAUAGAAGACGAAAGGACACCUUUAAUAAUUAAAAAAAGAAAUUGUACAAAAUACCACUAAUAUGUGUAUUGAGUUUGAACAGAUCAAAAUGUCUGAAGUAGGAAAGGAUCAAAAGGAAUCAGCAAAGCUUGUUCAGAAACAUAGUCCAAAUAUAUCUGUGCAGACACCAAACUUUGACACAGCCAACAAGCACCAGAAGAUUAGUUCAUCUUUAGAGAAUUCACCAAGGCUACACAGGGCAUUGUCGAACACAAAAACCUCAAAAAAUUGUCUCUGCUCUCCGACCACUCACGCAGGCUCAUUCCGGUGCCGGAUCCACCGGAAUCCGGCUGGCAUGGUCCGUGGAUAUUCUGUUGGCUCAAGUCUAUCAGAACUAGCUAAUAAAGCACAUUCUAUUAGAGAAAUGGUUUAGAAUGUGAUUAGUUGAAACAAUAUAUAAAUAUAUAUAUUUAUAUAUUGACUAUCUUUUCAUGGCACAUAUAUAUCAUAUGUAUUGAUAUUGAUAAUUUAUUAUGUAUAUGUCAAGGAUGUGUCACUUGUUCUUUUUUUUUUUUUUAAUGUUUUUUCUUUUUAAUCUUAAUAACGUGAAAUUUUUAGAUUUUCCUGUAAGUAAUUAUGAUUGUUGUUGAUGGUUUAUUUACAAAUGAAAUAAAUUAUUGUACAGUGCAUCUUGUAUAAUGCAAAUUAAUUAUUAUCAAUUACUGUAUAAUAAUAAAUAUUAAAUACAUAAUCCCAUGAUUAAAUUGUGGUUUGGAUUUGUCAUUAAAUAGAGCAUUAUGUAUAUCUAUUAUUUCAUCAACAUGUACUUAUUUUUAUAAGUGGAGAUCAUUUUAAAAAAAUUAAAUUAAAUGUAUUUUAUGUCAGUUUAAUUUAUGAAUUUAUAAUAAAGAGUUUGUUCUGUUAAGGAUUGAUUACAUUGUAGUUUAUUUUUAAUUUUAUAAAUGAAAGUUAUUUUUUCAUCUCAAUAGUAUUUUUUUAAAAUAUAAUUCAUUAAUAAUAAUAUUAAGAAUUACAAAUACUCAUAUAAAUCAGACAUAGAACUCUACUAUUAGUAGCUAAUAGAGUUCGCUGAUCCUUUAACAAAUCAAAAGAAUUUAUAUUCUUUUGAAUAAUAAAACUAAAAUUAAAAAAUAUAAUAUGCGAUCUUUCUGCUUAGAUUUAUUCUUGACAAAAUAUAUAAAUCUUUAUAACAGCACCUAGUCCGUUAAGUGUUUUGGACGAUAAAAUAAUAACUCUUCUGAAUCUUCUAUACUUUGAUUGUUUUUCUAAGAAUUUGCAACAUAUGAUGAAUGAUGAGUUUACGAUGCUAUGGCUCAAUAGUAUCAAUGGAGGAACAUGCCGCACUUCUAGGCUAUAUUGAUCAAAGAUUUACACCUAUAAAUCAAGAUAUAAAAUCUCCAAUGAAAUAAAAUUAAAUAUCAUAUUAUUUUAAUUAGUAAUAUACCCUCACAUUGAAGGGAUUACUCCUACAAAGAAGGGAGAAAAAACUCCAAAUAUGGAGACAAAAUAAUAAUAACAAAACCAAAAAAGGACAAAUCUAUUAUAGAAAAAAUAAAUUUGAUUUUAUUAGAGGGAAGGGAAUAAAAGAUUAAAAAUAAAAAGAAGUGAAGCGAAAAGAAAAAUAGAAGGUAGAAGGUAGAAGGUAGAAGGUAGAAGCUACUGCUGAUAAACAACAGUCGCUCCAAAACAAAACUAAGAUUAAAAGGCUAGAGAGAAAAGAGAGAGGAGAGUAACGAGACUUUCAUCUCAAUAGUAAAUAUAAAAGAUUAAGCCAAAUCACUUCAUGUAAUAUAGUGGUUUUCUCCUUUUCUUUUUGCCCACUUUCCGCUUAUAUGAGUGAGAAAAAUUCCAAUUUGAAUGCCAUUAAAUUGACUUGAUGCCCAUGUAAUUUUUUUUUUCCAUUAAAGGGAAUAACAACUCAGAACAACCAAACAGAUCUAUCCUAAGAAACCUUCGUUAAAUCAUUUAGCAAACAAAGCGUGGAUAGAAAAUGACAUUCAAGCAAAAGAGAAAAUGCUCACGAGUAGGAUGCUAAAAUUAACACGGCCCAAUAGAUAUGAAUCCGACCUGAAUCCAGUCAAAUUUAAAUUUUAAAUUUUGGAUUGAUAUGGAUAUAGUUUGGGUAAAAUUCAAAAGUUUUAUUUUAGCUAUGGGUAUUACUAUAAUAAAAUUCAAACCUGAAAUUCAAAAAUCAAGAAGCUUAAAAAUUUAUUAUUUUUUAAAUUAUAAUAUGAAAUUUUUAAUAAAUUGGGAUAAUUACAGUAUAAUACCUAUAUAAAUCACAAUUUUACUCUUAUUGUAAUGUAGUAUAGUCCAAAAUGACUUCACUCUAAUUUUCAUAUAUUAAUUUGAAUUGGUCAAAUUUUUAAAAUUUUAGAUUUUGAAAUUUAAAAUUCAAUUUCUAUUUUUUUUUUUUGAGAAAAAAAUCAAAUUAGAAGUUUCAGGAAACUGGAUACAAAUAUAGAUACAGAUCAAUAUGUUUCUAUAUUUUUUGUAUAGGAAGUCUAAUAAUAAACCAUCUAUACAAAGAAUAAAAAAAUACAAUUUUGAUUUGAAGAAUUCGAUCGAGUUGAACAUAAUAUUUUUGCCAUAGGCCAUCACUUGCUCCACUUGGUGGCUAUUCAUGGCCAUUGUUUGACUACAUAAUCGAUCUACAAGUCUAAUCUGAUUACCUUCAAAUUUCUUUCUUCUAUUAUAGAGGAGAUCUACACUUGUUUCUGCAUAACUAUUCACAUAACGAAAGAUCUUAGACAAUGUCACCAUAACGGUGAUAAUAAUAACUUAGAGCUAAAUCUGAAAAUAAAAUCGAUGUGCAAAAAUAAAUUUCAAUAUUUGAAUGACAAUUCAAAAUAAAUAAAUAAAUAAAAAGAAAAUAUGCGACUAUCGGUGAGAGCUCACCAUUGGCCGCCUGUGAAAGAAGAAAAGAGAAAUGUUUAAGUUUUAGAUUUUGGAAGAAAAAGAAAGCAAUUUUUAAUAUUUAAUUUCAAUUUCAAUUUCACAAAUAAUGAUGACAAUGGUGUGUAAUAUAAUUUUGCAAGAUAUGAAGUUUUUUUAUUCCAUUAAUCUUCCACAAUAUGAUUAUUAAUCGCAAUUAAAUAAUAUAUGUUUUUCAAUUGUCAGCACUCUGUUUGGGUUCAAGUUUUGUGUGAUAAGUAUAAACCCUAUAGCUCAAGGUUAUUAUUGGGUCCUGUGGAUAUUCAGUCUAAUGCCUCUGCUAUGUUGAAGGGCCUUUCUAAGGCUUGGCUUAGGCUUCGAGAGGCAGUUAUGUACGCCAUUGGUAAUGGUGCAUAUACUAAAUUUUGGCUGGAUCAUCAGUAUGUGCUUAUAGAUGUUGUUAUUUCCCAGGUUCCGGAUAUGAAUGUUGGCUGGAUUAUUUAUAAAGUUUUUUUAUAGGUUGCUCCUAAGAGGAUAAAUUUUGUCUCUACUUGCUUGCUUGCUUUGAGGCUUAAGAAAAUUUAGGACCAUAAAUGAAUCGAGCUGAAUCAAACUUUAAGUUGUUUAAGUUUGGUAUGUGAAUGAUAAUAAAACCUCGGGUUCAGUUCGAGCUCGCAUUUUAAUUCGAGCUUGGCUCAUGUAAUAAACAUUAAGCUCAAGCUCGAUUCGAACUCAACUCGUUUAUAUUGACUCAAGUUCAAGCUUAAAUUUAAGCUCGUUAAGAGCUCGAAUUCCAGCUUGAAUUUAAGGUCAUUAAGAUGAUGUACAGUAACUGGCUCUUAAAUAUAUGGAAGAGUUGGAUUGCUGCAAAUCCAAAAAGAAGGAGCAGGGGCGUGGAAGUCCAGCACGUGGGACACGCCCAAGACCAAGAAACGCAGGCACGCCCGUGCCACAACUAGCACACCCGUGCUAGCUCCUAGAAGUCCAAGCAAGCCCGUGUCACAACCAACACGCCCAUGCCGAUGCCGAGGAGCUCAAUUAUGUUUCGAGUGCCAGCACGCCCGUGUCACAACAAGCACGCCCGUGCUAGCUCCUGGAAGUCCAAGCAUGCCCGUGUCACCCCAAGCACACCCGUGCCACUGACCUUGCUAAGAUUUAACCUAGUUAUGACUUUUGUGUUAUUUUUAGGGUUUUUUAUAUUUUAGCCUAAACAUAUAAAUAGGCUACUUUGUUAUUUGGAAACACAUUAUUAUUCUUGGAUCAUUAUUCAUAUCAAUGAACCUCUUUAAGAGUUUAUUUCACUACUUUAUUCGUCAGAUCAAAUAUUAUUGAUCGAAACUCCUGACGGAGUAUAAUCGUUAUUCCCAUUCAUGUAACCGUUCUGCGUCAGUUGGUAUCAGAGCCAAAAGGCGAAGUAUCUCCAUGGCCAACAAUCAUGAGACACGACUCACAGCCAUAGAGGCGAGAUUCAAAGAGUUAACCGAACAGAUUAGACAGUUGACUCUUGCAAUCCAACAAGGCAACCCACAACCUACGCUCCGAAUUAGCAGCAACCAGAUUAUAUAAGGCGCCAAAAUCGUUAUGAUGGAGGCCGAGAUUAUAGAAACAAUGGUGAAAACUUUCAUGAUGGAUAUAAAAUAAAGGUGAACCUUCAACCUUUCUCAAGAUCAUUAGAUAUUGAAAGCACCCUUGAUUGGCUGGCAGAGGUCGAACGAUUCUUCGAGAUUAUGAAUGUUGAGGAUGAACGUAAAGUCUCCAUUAUGGCCUAUAAACUAAAAGGAGGAGGAGCAGCAUGGUGGCAUUCUGUUCAAAACAAACGUCAUCGUCGAAGGAUUGAACCUAUGCGAGAUUGGAUUUUAAUGAAAUAGAUGAUUGAGCAACGUUUCCUUCCCAGUGAUCACUCUCAAAUUUUGUAUAACAAGUAUCAUGACUGUUUUCAAGGAAACCAAAAAGUUGAUGAGUAUGCAAAAGAGUUUUUGAGAUUAUAGGCUCGUUGUGACAACAAUGAACCCGAAUCCUAGCAGGUAGCUCAUUAUCAGAGGGGACUGAACCAUGAUAUAAUGUGUAUGAUGGGUGUAGUUGUAAUUUCUACACAGGCAGAUGCAAUUGAGAUGGCCAAACGUGCAGAACAUAGAAUUAACUGGCAGCUUCGACAACCGUCUAAUCGUAAUCAGAACUUCAGGCAACAAUAUUCACCCAAAAAUCAACAGUACAAUAGAAACUAUAGUGGAUAGAAUUCAAGAGCAGCAACUCCUAUUAAUAACCAAAAUUCACAGCAGCCCUCAACAAAAGAAAAGAAAGACUCCCGGGGAAAGGCACCCAUGGCAGACAGAAAUAAUAAGUCGACUCCAUAUCAGAAGCCAACCAGAGACUAUUGUUAUCGUUGCAGAAAACCGGGGCAUACGUCUAACUUAUGUCCUAAGAAAAGGGUGGCUAAUGAAGGGUGUCGACAGGUUAAUGUAGUUGAUGAGGUGCCUGACGUUGAAGAAGGAGAAGAUGAAGAUGAAGGAUCCAUGGCUGGUUCAGAAGAAGGCGAGGUCACGUUUGUUAUUUAGAAAAUUUUGUGUUCUCCAAGAAAAGAAAGGGAAACUCAACGGAGAAAAAUUUUCCAAGCUAAAUGUCGGGUUGGUGAAGCAGUGUGUCGACUCAUUAUUGAUAGUUGCAGUUGUAAAAGUUUGAUAACCAAGUAGCUGGUUGAAAAAGCUAAAUUUACCACAUAACCACAUCCUUCACCAUACAAGGUAGGGUGGAGUAAAGAGGGUCCAACAAUUGAAGUAAACCGGGUUUGUAAGGUUCCUAUUUCAAUGGGAAAGUCCUACUCAGACUGUGGCAAUUGUGAUGUUGUGGAUAUGGAUGACUGCGGGGUAUUAUUAGAACGUCCAUGGCAGUUUGAUGUAGAUGCAUUGCACAAGGGUAGAGAGAACUCAUACAUGUUCACUUGGAAAAAUAAGAAAAUCAUUGUCCUUCCUUCGGGAUCUUUUGCCAAAGCUUAUAAAGUGGAGGGAAAAUCCAUAGUAGCUGUUUCUUCCAAUGUGCAGGAAUUAUCUGGUGCCAUUGAGAAGUUCGAGGGUGCAUUGGCAUUGCUGAUUAAGCCAGAGACAGGCUCUAAUGAAGGGGCACUAGUACCAUCACCAGUCAAGGAGUUGCUAGAUGAGUUUUAUGCCGUACUUGAAGAACCAUCUACACUUCCACCAUUGCGGGAUAUUCAACAUCAGAUUGAUUUUAUCCCUAGAUCGAAGAUACCAAACCUGCUCCAUUAUAAAAUGAAUCCAAAGGAGAGCAAGAUCCUUCAAGAACAAGUAGAAGAAUUACUGAAGAAGGGACAUAUCUGGGAAAACAUUAGUCCUUGUGAGGUUCCUGCUUUAUUGGUACCAAAGAAGGAUGGGACUUGGUGAAUGUGUGUGGAUAGUAGAGCCAUCAACAAGAUCAUGGUGCAGUAUCGAUUCCCUAUUCCUCAUCUGAAAGACAUGUUGGACCAACUGUCAGGAUCUAUAGUGUUCUCCAAAAUAGAUCUUUGCAGCAAGUAUCAUCAAAUCAGGAUCAAGGAGAGAGAUGAGUUGAAAACUGCAUUCAAGACUAAGGAAGGAUUAUAUGAGUGGUUGGUUAUGCCAUUUGGGUUGACUAAUGCACCGAGCACAUUCAAGCUACUUAUGACUCAGGUUUUACGUCCUUUCUUGUGCAAAUUUGUGGUUGUUUACUUUAAUGACAUCUUGAUUUUCAGUCGCAGCAAGGAAGAACACCUUCAGCACCUUCGAGGGGUGUUGGAUGCUUUACAUAAAAAUGAGUUGUACAUCAACCUUAAGAAGUGCAAAUUUAUGACGAAGCGGAUUCUAUUCCUUGGUUAUAUUGUUAGCUCGAAAGGAAUUCAUGUUGAUGACAGAAAUAUUGAGGCCAUUCGAAAUUGGCCUAUUCCCAAGAACAUCACUGAAGUUCACAGCUUUCAUGGUCUUGCUUGAAAAAUGAGAGAGUUCAACAAUUUGUGUGGACUGAAGCUGCAAAUAAAAGCUUCGAAGAAAUCAAAGAUAAGCUUACUUGAAAAAUGAGUCAUGUGAAAAAAAUUUUUAAAAAAAUUAAUAUUUUCAUUGUUUCGGGUGGGAUCGAGUUAAACAAGGUAUUUAAUCGAUCCACCCGAUCCGAAUAAGGGAUAUACAUCCCUCAAAUUAUCUAAUCCAAUCGGUUUGGUCGGAUCGGGUUAGGUUGUUCAGGUUUUGCAGAACCCUACUACAAAUUGUCCAUUUUUUACCUUUUUUUUUU